GUCCCUUUAGUACAGAGAUUUCUCCAGAUCAUUAUUCUGAAACUCUUGAACUGUUGGCUCACUCUUCAGAGUCCGGAACCUUCUCCAUCUUUCCCUCUGACAGACUCCGCCUCUCUGAAUGUCCUUCUUAGACCUAGUCAUGUGACUAACCUGUUGGAGAGCCACCUCAUUAGUUGGAGAUGUUCCUCCAGAUGUUUGGUUCUCCCUUUAAAACAACCUUUUGAAACAAAUAGCAAAGUUGAUGAUUUGCGAACUUGAAAAUCACAGACUUAUUUUGAAUGUGGAACUAUUCCUUUACUUAAAGUCAUAACGAUUGUAGAGAUUGUUGAUGAUUAUUAACCUCGUUUCUAUGGUGAUCAUGGUCCUAUAGUGCGAUCUCCACAAAGUGAAGAGAAAAAAGAACGGAAAAAAUCUGUUCAUCCUAGCAGGUGCAGGGCUGCAAAAACAUUGGCCAAUGGCAGCCAUCCGUCCCGGACAGCUCCUAUUGGUCAAUCUCCUGCUCCGCUUCUCCAUCCAAUCACCUCGCUGUGAUCAACACACCCCUCUCCUGUUACUCUGACUCGUCUCCUCCCACUCUCCCGGCCCUCCUCGGAGCUCUGAGUGGCUAAAAGUAGCGUAGCAGCUUAGCUACAGGAGCUGUGAUAGAGAAGGACGCAAAAAAAGACCCACUUCUGCUCUCCCCACUGCCAAAAGUGCAAAGAAAACGCAAGCCGACAGAAGAAAGGGCGGAGUGGAAAAGGAAAUGUGACCAAGUGAGGAAUCUAACUGGAAUUAAUAUCGGGUCAUCCUUGGAGCGGUGGAGAAAGCUCCGCCAGGAUUUGGUCCUGAAAACAGACGCAGAGACAGCAGAGUUUUUGUUGAACAGGUAAUUUUUAUCGCCUUUAUCGUGGCACACGUUACAUAAAUAACUCUUAUUAGUCUCUGCAAUGUCAACAUGGUAGCUGCCCGGGCAGCUGCAGAUGGUGCUCGCUAGCAGAGCUGGCGUUUACUGCCUCUAGUCACUAACAAUCCAACAUGGUGAAUCCUAUUUGAAGCUACCAUAGGAUCUUCUGGCGGCCAGCUUCUUGCUUUGCCAGAGGGGGUGUGUCGUGGGGAGGGUGAUACAGGUUCGGGGGGGAGUUAUCGUGGAGCACAGAGGGGAGAGGUUUGUCUGUUGGGGGUGGGACGCUUUUUUCAAAUCUGCCUCAACGGCUUUUUUCAACUGAAGCUCAGAUCAUCAACCAGGACUUUAAGUGGUGUGACUCUUGGUGUGUAUAUGGACAGAGAAACUGAGAGAAGAAGUUCUUACGUUUAUCAUCUCAAGAAACUCCUGCUCUAGUGAGACUAUCCAAACAUCAUAAAGGCCACUUGGUUGUAAUAACGAUCUCACGACGCACAGGAAUUCAAAAGUACAAAUUCAUGUUCAUUUGUGUGUGUUUACGAGAGUCUUAGCCUCUGGGCAUUAUAGUCUGGGGUUCUUAAUGCCUUUUUUAUGACACCAUUUGGGGCUCUCUGUCAUGUGACAUUGUCUGUCUCUGUCUGUUAGGAUUUACGGCCACGCUUCAUAAAUCAGCUGACAUCAGUGAACACCAUUAAAGCAUGUCACAAACACACCAGGACGACACCUCCACACAGCCAGGCCGAUAAGCGCUGAGAAAUACUGAUAGAUGUGUCUGCGUGAAGAGGACGUCGGCACUGAAGAGCUCGCCGACGCCCUGAAGCUAAAACUUUAAAGAUUCUCAGAGUCAUAAAAACUGAAAUACAGCUCAGGACAGGGUUGUUAUAUUGUCAUCAUAACAGCUGUGGGCCAUCAUAUGAUGGCACUUCAUGUCUCUGGGCAGAAGUGGACGUUUCUGACAUUUCAGCAUCACCAGCAGUUCGCGCCGGCGUCUUUUUCAGAGCAGCUAGACAGGUGACCAUGUCUUCAGAUCAUGAAAGAAAAGAAAAGCACCCCUCCAGAUAUGUCUGGGACAUCAUCACUGCCACUUCCUGUCUCAUUACGUUCUCCAGAUGAGUCUUCUUCAGUCUCAGUCACAGUUUCACUGUAAAGUUACACAGAGGCUGCAGUUUGGAAUAUGUUAGCGGUAUAAACCCCCAAAAUUAGACCAAACUCUUUUGAUCAAAUGGGUUAAAUUUGCUGAUAUAACAGCAAAAGGAAAAUUCCAGUGACUGUCAACGGUCAGUGCGUUUACAUGCACAGCUUAAUUGGAAUAAACUCAUAAUUCGUUUUUUUCUCCGAAUCAGACUUCUCUGAUGUGAAAAUUAAAUUAUUGACAUGAACGUGUCCUCCGCAUAACUAGGGGACAAUUUGGGUCUUUUCAGCGGCACUUUUUCCGGACCUUUUUAAAGGUGUCUCCAUUCCUCAUUUUGCGACCGUCCAAGUACUUUAAAAUGCCAGGACGGAAAAGCAUAAGGGCACCCUCCUUGUUGUUGAAAGUUCUCUAAAUGAUAGCGCCGCUUCUUCUCUUGUGUUUUUGUUCCAGGGUUAUGGGGGCAUGGCGCACGCACACAUGUAUUGUCCUAUCAUACUCGGACUACGCUGGUUACAUGGUAGAGAAAAUCGAAUUCCAAUUGCAUUAUCUGGGUGUCUUCAUUGGAGUUCGUCAUCGUUUUCUUCCGCUUAUCCUCGUCCGGGUCGCAGGGGCAGCAGCUUCAGGAGGGAAGUCCAGACGGCCCUUACCCCAGCCACUUCCACCAGCGCCUCUGGGGGGGAUUCCCAGGUGCUCCCAGGCCAGGUGAGAGAUAUAGGGCUCUAUUUUCGUGUAUGCCGGUGAGGCGACGGAGGGUGGCAGACCCCGUGCAGUUGUAUUUUCGUCUGGCGGAGCCCGGCGUACAGCCAGUUUGGUAUUUUCGUGGACUGAGCCCAAUGCAGCACUUACAGUGACACUUGUUGAGGAGCUGCCUUCUGUCGCCAUCAUGUGGCAUUACUGUCUUCAGACAUCUCUUGAUCUCUUUGACUACUUCACGAAAAUAGUAAUACGCCUCGCCGGUGGUGGAUUUAAAGGCAAGGAGAGGAGCUUAUGUGAUUGGUGAAAACAGGUCUCGGCUGUGUUAAACCCACUCCACGCCCUCCCUUGCUACGACUUACGCCGCUGGGAGGAGCUGAGUUAGGGAGGGGGGAUACUUACGCCAGGCUACGCUGCUCACCAAAAUACCAAAAUGUGCUUGGGAACGCCUUGUCGGCGCGGCGGACUUGACGUACGCCACGCCUGCGGCACAUCUCUGGCGAGGCACGAAAAUAGAGCCCAUAAUCCCUCUACCUGGUCCGGGGCCAGCCCUGAGGUCUCCUCCCAGUGGGACAUGUCUGGAACACCUCUAACGGGAGGCGUCCAGAAGGCAUCCUAACCAGAUGCCUGAGCCACCUCAGUGGCUCCUCUCGACGCGGAGGAGUAGCGGUUCUACUCUGAGCGCCUCCUGAGUGUCUGAGCCCCAUUCCCUAUCUCUAAGUCUGAGCCCAGCCACCCUGCGAAGAAAACCCAUUUCAGCCACUUGUAUCUGCGAUCUUGUUCUUUCGGUCAUCACCCAAAGUUCAUGGCCAUAGGUGAGGUUCAGCACGAAGAUCUACCGGUAAAUCGAGAGUCUCGCCUUUCGACUCAGCUCUUUCUUUACCACAACUGAUCGGUUAAGCGUCUGCAUCACUGCUGAUGCCGCUCCGAUCUGCCUGUGGAUCUCCCGCUCCACCCUGCCCUCACUCGUGAACAAGAUCCCGAGAUACUUGAACUCCUCCACUAAUUGGAGUUCUCCAACUCCAAUCAGAGUUCUCAAACUCUGAUUAUAGUCAGACUAAGGUGUUUACAUGCACUUCAGUUGUCCGGACUGAAUCGGAGUAAGGCGAUAAUUCGGUUUCCUUGAGUGUCAUGGAAACAUACUGGAUGAGUUACACUCUGGCAUUAUGAAACCAAUAAAGGAUAAAAUUAUUAAUCAUGGGUCUCUAGUUUCUAAUAUGAAAUUUUUAAUGCAGAUUUCUGUGAGUCUCAGUUUCACUGUUGACAGUAAGUCACUCAGAGGCUCCAGUCCAGCUAGUCAGAGGUAAAAACUAGAAAUGAAACUGUUUCUCGUAAUGAAUGGCUCUUAGCUUGUUAAAAUUAGAUGCUGAUUCCUGGUAAGUCUCAGUUUUACUGUAUUUGAUUGGUUACACCAGAAACAACCCUUUUAAAGUUUAACUUUAAAAAAGAAUCUGGUUUCUUGUCAUUUUGGAUCUUGAAAAAGAAGAUUUAAGACUUGUGAAAACUCUCAGUGUCAUUGUUAAUUGUGAGUCACACAGAGGCUUCCCUCUUGGUCUGAACCUACAAAAGAAAUUGAUUUUCUUUCUGGAGCUUACUUUAGUGGUAUGAACCUGAAAAUAUGCCAGUUUUAUUUUUAAUUCCUUGUGAUUUUAGGGUCUCAUGUUUGCUGAUAUAAUGUAAUGAUACAGAGUAUCAGUUUUACUGUGAAUACUGAAACACACAGAGGCUUCAGUCUGACUAACAUUAGAGGUGGAAACUGAAAUAAAAAAAUGUUUUUUUGUGAUUUUCUUGCCAUUUGUAGAUCCUCUUUUGUUGAUUAAAAAUGUUAUUCUGCUUGCUGGUGAGUCUCAGUUUCACUGUAAAUUGUAUGUAACACCAUUAGCCUUACUUUGGCUUACUUUAGUGAUAUAAUAUUGUUGUGCUGUUGUAAUCAACAGCUCUGAAGUCUCCUGAUAUAAAACUAUAAUCCAGAUUUCUGUUGAGUCUCAGUUUUACUGUAAAUCAUAAUCUACAAAUCAGCUAUGAAUUGGCUACAUCAACCAGUAUGGACCUAAAGGACUCAAGUUUUUCAUCCUGAUGCAGUUUGGUCAAAGGUUUAAAGUCGAUCUUUGUCAGAAAACUUGAAAACAUCUCUGGGAUAAAGCCGAAGGGUCCGGAUCUGCUCACAGGUGCCGUCACUCUCACCAUCGUUGGGUCUCCUUUCUGAACAUGCUGCUGACUGUGAGUUACAUCUGAGUGAACUCUGGAUCAUGUGGGAGGAGGGGGGUGUGAAUAAUUCAGACAGAUUAUAUAUUGAUGUCGCUCAGUCAUAAAGAUUGCAUCACAUGUACGGAGCAUAAUUUAGAAUUGUAUAACUGAAAACAUUCAAACAGAUUGAGCAUCAUUUAGUUCCACCUCAGCACAGCUGAUACCUGCUCUUUGUAGAGAUUCCUUGUAUGUUUUCAUGGCUUUGUGUAUUAAAUAAUGGAGCAGGACUCACAUCCAGGAGCAACGCUGUUCACAAAGAUGAGCGGGAAGUGUCGAAACACCCCAGAGGUUCAGCUAAAGAGGAGAAAACGUCAAAACACAUCAACGUGACGUUUAACUGACUGACAGUACAGUAGGAAGAACAUAGUUCAGGUUUUACUUAUGUAAACAGAUAAAUAAUUCAAUAAUCAGGUUUUUUUUUUCUUCUGUACAUCCUCCCUGACAAACUGAUAUCAGUCUGAGGUUGAAGUGUGAACGAUGGAGUCAGAUACAGGGCAGGGAGAGGUGAAGAAAACUCGACAAAAAGCAGGAAAACAGCAGAAACUGUUGAAAAUAAAGACAUGAACAUAUCUGCUUAUAUAACAGACACAGAAACAGGAAUAUGAGGAUAAUUAGAAUUAUCCUGAUCCAGUUAUUGAAGGGAUCAAUCGGUCUCACCAAAUUAACAAGAAGAGAAAAACCUGCAGUUCCUCUAACGUUCACUAGAGGCUAUCUCCAACAGUGGGUGAAUCCCAUAGACUGUAUGUAGAAUGGACGCCGUCUGCCUCCUGGAUGGGUGAAGCCACUCCGAGAACAGCACCCUCUGGUGACGGGCUGCAGUAUAAGCAGUGCUUAAUUUGUGCUGGAGCAAGCCGGAGCACACUCCGGGACCUCUUUGAUCGGAUCCGGGACCUAUUUCAGCCGCUCUGGCACCUGUUUGAUCUGCUCCGGGACCUUCCCUGUCAAUAAAUAAACUGUGGUUUUAUCUAUGUUUUUUUUUUCUGUGUUUUAUUUCUCUCUGAAGUGACGCCUGAUGGCUUAUUUCUUAUGCGUUUUACUCAGAAAUUGGGUAAAACAGGGGUAAAAAGUGAUUUAUGCCGUCACGUGUCACAACGUAAUGCGCAUUGGGAUGGUUCUGUUUCCGCACCGGCACUGCGCGCAAAUAGGUAAACAACAUGGUGUGCCAAAUGUUGCUGAAAAUGUUAUACUACGUGGGUGCGCAAAUUAAGGUGAAAAAGACAAUAAAACGCGUUAAAAACCCGAGAAUAAAAGCAUAUUUUUAUGGCGCGCUUCAGGGGGGGACCCGGCACCUCCUGGAGGACAAAUUAUGCACUGAGUAUAAGUCAUAAAUCCCUCCUCCUUAUGGAACUGUGGACAAACUUUAUAAAUUAAUAACACAGAAAAUACAUUUUUCACCCCCCUGUUGCGAUGUUGACAUGUAGUUACUAAGGCCCGACCGAUAUGGAUUUUUUUUUUAACAAAUGGCUGCUUUUAAGCCUUUCAAACACUUCUUCAAAGAAUUGAGUGCAAACAGUUAAGUUAACUUCCAACUCUUUUGCUCAACAUCCUCAUUACUCACAUCCCUCAAAACAAACAAUAAAAAACAACAGUAAAAGAAUGAGGUAUUUAGUAGCGGGAAAAUAAACGUUUUCAAAGACGUUCGCUGUUUGAGCCGAAUGUCAUCACAGCGACUCUCACACCGAAUGUGUAUAAUGCUACUGCGCAAUGUUGGUUUCAGGAAAUGGAGAAAAAACGCGGAAUUACCGAGCGCUUUUGGGCUUCAAAUCCGUACACAUGUGGAAGGUGGAACCAAGUUGUCCAGAGUAUAUACAGUCUGUCGUCAACCCCCAUAAAGCCCUGUAAAAACAUGUCUAUUUGUAACAGCAGAAAACAACAUAUGGAACACAAUUCUGGACUUCAGAGCAAAUUCUUUUAUUUCUAAAAACUUUAAAAGGUGAUUUUUUACGACAUUUGCCCCCUCAGUUUUGAUUACGAUAAAGGCAAAGGUCGCAGAUCUUCAAAAACAAAUUAAUCUGCCAGUAAAAGUCAGAAAUCUUGUGGAUCCUCCUAUCGUAUUUCAUCACUGAAAAUAAUUCAAGUUUUGGUACUCAUGUUAAAAUAAUAACACCAGUUUAAGGCCUGAAUCUUCUGUUUCCAACCAAAGUCAUCAAAGGCCAGAUUAUCAGAUGGUUCUACAGAUUAAAAUCCUGAAUAUCAAACAUGUUAAAUAUUUCAGAAACUCCUACAUGUAGAGGGAACCUCAUGACGGCGGAUUAUGGUCUUUGUUCAGUGUCAUGUGGAGGAAAACGAUCGCUAUUAUCGAAAAGAUUCUGGGUUGAAAUGCUCCCUUGCUCACCCCUCCUCAGGUGAAACUAUGGUGACCUUAAAGGACACAAAGUAUAAUCCUCUAUUUGAACUGCAGUGCCAACAAUUUUGGUCUCAAUUGAAUUUUGGAUGGUUGGCCUUUAAAAUUCAGUGAUAUUAUUCAUCCUUUAUACAGGAGCAGCAUUAAUCUAUAACAUAUGAGAACCAUGACGUGCAAAAGAAAAUACAGAUAUAUUUAUCCUAUAAAAACACAAACUCAUCCUGAGGUGUCUCCUUAAAACUACAGAGUCUAAAUAAACUUCUGGAGUGAUUUCUUUCACCAAGUGUCUAGCAGCAGAAACUCCUGAUCGACGGCUUUCUCGGUUGUUUUUCCUCUUUUCCUUUUUUUUCCAACUCUCCAUGUUUUUCUCUCCUUCGCCGCCCAUGGAGCUCUUGUGGAGGAGACUCCUCCUGCCUGAGGCGACAGCUCCAGCUGCAGACAGCUUUUAAGGAUAGUGAGGAGAGUUGGCGGGAGGUGGCGGAGGGGGAGGAGGCUGGGCUAAUGUGGAAUAGCUGGAAGUGCCAGGUGACUGCUGGGUGACACACACUGUGGUUUUCAGACGUGGUUCACAACCACGGAGCCGAUCUCACAUGAAAAAUAUCCAGAAUUAAACCCGAGGAGGUGGCAUGAAGUGCGGAGGAAACACAGAGGUUAGUCGUCGACAUACAGGAAUAUAUAUGAACCCACAUUUAUACAGUUAUUAUCACAACAUCAGCUCUCACAACAGUAUUUAAUCAACAACACUGUUACUUUAGGAUGUCAUUAUAUUACAAUAAACCUUCUGUUUAUAUGACUGUCUCCACUUCUUAUCACUCCAUACUUUACCUAAUUAUUUAUAAAACAAGAUUAGGCCUAUGCACCAGUUUAUUAAACUAACAAACAAACAAACAAAAAAAAAACGUAAAGGAUGUUUUUUUUUGUAGAUUUGCCUCCAUAAUAAAUAAAUUGUUCAUAUUUUAGGCCCAAAAAUCUGAAACGGUCAGAUCGUGUCUAAGUCAUAGCUCUGGAUGAUGGUAACUGCUAUAAUAAUCCAAUGCUCUGCUAUCUGUAUCUAAACUAGAUAUAAAUAAAUAAAUUAGAUAGAAUAUAGGUAGGAUAUGAAUACAAAGUUUUUUAUUUAUUUCUGUUAGUUUUAUAAAUCAGUUCACCAGGUAAACAUGGAGGAUAUUUAGUUAAUCUUUUAAAGGACAUGUAAAAUAGAUUAAUAAACUGGUUUUUGGUCUUACUCAUAAAUUCAAAUGUUAAAGAGGGAUUAUCAUAAAUUGGUAACACUUUACAAUAACCAUAAUUUAUAAACGGUAAAUAGAUAGUUUAUUAAUGUUGAAUCAUCAUUUAAAAACACCAUAUAGACCAAUUAUAAAUGGCAAAUAGAUAGUUUAUUAAUGUAAGUUUAUAGUUACUUUACCAUUAACAUGCAGUGAAAUUAUGAUUAAUAAUUUAAAUUAAUUAUUAAUGGACUAUUUAUUAAAGGUUUAUAUAGGGUUGAAAUAUUAGUUGUAAAGCAUCUAGAUAAAAAUGUGUGUCAGUAGCACUUUGUAAAUGAUUAAUAAGUGGUAUUUAAACCAUCUUAAACAUAACUUACAUGGUUAUUGUAAAGUUAGGGUUAGGUUUUAAAAAUUGCAAAAUUUACAAUUUAUUAUUAGUCUAUAUACUAUUUAUAAAUGAUAAUUAAAGAUUAAUAAAUGAGCUGCUUACCAUUUAUAAGUUAUGGUUAUUGUAAAGAGUUACCCAUAAAUUUUGUUCCGGACCCUAUACUUCCUCUCUUUAAUAUCUUUCCGUGAUUAUCAGAUCAGCCUCCUGUUUCUGGUGUAUUUAAAUAUUAUUUCAGCCUCCAUCUGAAAGGGUUCGUUUCAGCGUCUGUCUCUUUAGACUAUUAUGAAUUUAUUCUUGCAAUCGAAGAGUUCAUAGAAGUGCAUUCUUUGCCACAGCGUCAACAGGCAGAGGUGAAAUAUGACAGAUUUAUUUCAGUGGAUUAACACGAUAUGAGGUGUAUGAUCAGAUUUUUUUUUCAGAUUAAACAAAUAUAUAACACAGCUGGGAUUAAAUAAUCCUGAAUUAACACUGAAAAAAGGAAUGUUUAAAACUGCAGUUCCACUAACAUCCACUAGAGGCUGGUUCCAAAAGUGGGUCAACUUUCAUAGAGCCCAAUGUCAAGAUGUCUAACUUUGCAGAAAUUUUGCUUUAAUGGCAAAUUUUCUGAUUUUUAUUUUUAUUUUAAUGGUACAUCAACUUAGACUUUGCGUUACCAGGGGCACGGCGGGUAAAACUGUUGUAUUUGGGUCUAAAGUAGCUGGGUGAUGUGCUGCUCUUUUGCUAAUUUCUAAAUUAAACUGGAGUUAGACGGAGUUGACAUUUCUGAUCUGGACACUUGUAUCUUUAGACUUUAAACCUCCUCCUCAAAAAAGUCACGUAACCUGCGUCUCUGUUUUUGUUUUUCAUGGAUCACGUUCACAUCACAAAGAUUUUUAUGCCUCAUUCUCACCGUUUAUUUCUAAAUCUACAAGGUUGGUUAUUUUAUGUGUCACUCUCUGCAGCUUGUCGUACCCUUUUACCUCUUUUUUUUUGAUUGUUGGUAGAAGAGUGAGAAAGACAAAAGUAAGAUACAAACACAGACAGAAAGAAGUGUGUGUGUUGUGUUGUGUUGUGUGUGUGUGUGUGUGUAGUAAUCUAAUUGUGUGCGGUUGAAACAAAUAAGGAUGUUAUCCAGUUAGAAAGUAGCUGUUGCGCUUGGGGGUCUGCUGUGACAUGGUUAAAUGUCAGACUCCAUCUCUGCAGAGACAAAUGGGGAAAGACUGGGAGGGGAAAGAAAAACACAGAAAAAGGCAAAUGAUGGCGGCUUUGACUUUCUGUUGGCGUGUUUAAAAUGCAGAAAGGACUUUAAUGAAGUGACCCCCGGUUCGAUACUUCAAUCUGCAUUUCCAUUUUUUCACUUUAGUCAUCUCUUCAGCUGCUGGAGUGUUGAAUAACAGGUUUGGAAAGAUAACAACAGCAGGAUAGUCCUCCAGGAUAUUUUUAGAGAACAGCCCCGAGUUUCUCCACUGUAAGGUGAGUGGCUGGAGUGUGUGUUGGAGUGUGUGUUGGAGGGCCGUUCAGCAGCACCAGGAGCUCAUAAUUGAUUUUGGGAUGUGGUUGAGCGUGGUUAUUUACAUGGGCGGCUGCUCUCGGAGCGCCCACUUGUUAGUCAUGCAUUUAUGCUGGCGGCGAGCGGAGCGAUGGUGGUGAGACGUUUCCUGCUGAGGCUGCAGAUCUGAGGGUCACAGAGCCUUGCGCCGCUCGCACAUUUCUCCGGAGGUUUUUCUGGGUGUUUGGCAGUUUUUCAACUUGACUGGUUGUCAUCGGUGUUUACGCUGCUUGGCUCAGCUUCGACCAAAGAUGCAGAUUAAACAUUAAAGGAGCUGUUGUGUGGGUUAGUCAAUGUACACACACACACACACACACGCACACACACACACACACACAUGUGUGCGCCAGGCCGCUGGAUUUCAACAUCAAACAGUUUUCUUUCAUUUAAAGUCACUUUAGGAUAGACGGCUUAGGCAGCAAAAUUUGACUCAGUUCACAAACACACAAAUAAAUCUGUAAAUUAACUCAAACUCCUCGUUGUGUAUUUAUCGGAAAAAGUUUCUCUAAUGGUUCAGUUUUUCUGACAUUUUACCAAAAACAUGAAAAACUGGAUCCUAAUGAGUCCAUUUUCAGAGCUGAUCCUCAUUCAGAUUAAGUUUCAACCUCCAGGUUAGAAAUGAAAAAACUGCAGCUCCUCAAUCGUCCACUAGAGGCUGAGCCCAAAACUGAGUCAACUCUCAUAGAGCCCUAUGUUAAAACGUUUACCUCUACAUACUGGUAUGAUAACAGUUUUUAAUUCUGUGGCUCAUUUCUCAAACCCUGACCACAGAAGGCAAAUUCAUGUAGAGUUCACCGAAGUGAAUGAUAUGAUUGCUGCGUUCCAGUUGUACUCGGAAGUCGGAAUUUCCAAGCCUUGAGUGGGAAAUUCAUCUGGAACACCCCCCUGAAGUUGGAUUUCUGAUUCGGAAAGUCAGACGAUCCUAACCAACCCCGACUUGACGACAAAGUCAUAGUCCAAGAUGGCAGCUCAGUGCAUCAACAGUAACCCUCAAUUUUCAACGCAUCCGGAACAGCUCCGAUCCGGAAUGGGGGCCAUUUUUUGCCAUCCGCCAAUUCUGAUUGGAUCCAUUUGUGAGGUGAAAAUAAAAUUAAAUAUAAGAAGUAUGUGCAAUGCAGACUAAAAAUAAAAAUACUAGAUAUAUAAAAUAAAUACAGACUAAAUAUACUAAACAUCCAAAGAGAGACAAAAGUAAGAUAUGAAAAACGUGGGCUAUUGAAAUGAGUAAUAAAUAUGAAAUGAGUAAUAAAUAUAAAUAUGAAAUGCGAAAUAUAAAAUACACGGGAGCUGCUGUAAAAGGCUGCCACCUCGCGCUGCGCCAAUGCUCACCUGUGUAAGCAGUAGAUUGUGUCCUUCCAGAGGAGGAAAUCUACUUCUAGAAUCAGCAUCUCCUCAUCCAUGGUGUCAUCAGGGUGAAAUGACGUCUAAAAACCUUUCACUUGUUUGCGGUUGAAAUUGGGGGUAACAGUGAAAGCUCUCAUAAUAGCACUUCUGUUUUGUUUUAGUGAAAUUAAAUAAGUUGUAUAUGCUGUACUACCCAACACCUAACUGUAAACACGGUGCUAUGGUGUUUGUAAGGGUAAAAUACCGGGUUAUGUUUAUUUACAACUUAGAUGACAACAACUGAUAACCGCCAACGGCUGACAAUUGUAAACAACAGCUAACAAUGGCUAAUAGUAGGCUUUCAUCUGGGUUUUUCAACUUGUUUACUGGAAUGACAUCAACUCGGGUGUAAAGUCAUUCCCAGCUCCGACAGCCGACUUCUGAGGAAACUGUAAUGCAGUAUAAGGCUAAAAUGAUGUAGAAAAAGGGGCGUAGCACUUUGCAUCAGCAUUGUUUAUUUAAUGUCAUUUAUUAACCCUUUUUAAACUCAUCAUCUCCCAGUCAACCGAUUAUGUUAUUUACCAAAACAAUCAGCAAACAGGUUAUCAAUAAGUUAAAGGUGGGGUGGGCAGGAAUCCCCUAAAGAAGCAUCUGUUUCUGUGGUUUUUAUACAAAAAAUCUUUUAAUAUCAGUCAAUAUUUAUCAGUUAUUGAUGACAUUUGGUAAUAUAACGAUAUCUCUGUGUUCUUUAAUGUCUGUGUAGUCAACAUUUUCACAUUUUUGAGCAGUCUGCUCUUUCAGACUGUAAACAAAGCCGUUCUCCACCUCCCCCAACCUGAUUGGUUGUGAGGCAGACGCUGCUCCCUCGUGUCAUUCACGAGUCCAAACAAAGUUAGCGUGCUACAAUAUCGGACAGUAGAAACCAACCAGAAAGUAUGGAAAAUUGUCUGUGUCCUCCUUUGGCCACGACUGCAAACACAAACAAGAAAACGAAGUAAAUACUGGAGACUCUGGCGGAAUAACGGGCGCAUAAAAAGGAGGUAGACCAGACAAGAGCUAAAAAGCCGGGUCAACAUAAACAAUGGGGGACGCUUCGGGAUGUUGUUGACCCUGUAACCUUUCUGCUGGACAGGUAAACUGCUUUAACAAAGUAAGCCAAGUGUCUGUAACAGAAGUGUUUCUUGUCAAACGGGACCUGCUGUAGCGUGUUGUAGCGACGCUAAACUGUUGACCUCUGGUCCUGGUCUAUGUCACUUUAUCCUAGUUGUAGAAGUCCUACAAACAUUGUGUUUGCUGGUAGUCUGUUUGCAUCUAGAGAAACACCAAUGCUUUUUACUUUCACCUUGACUGGGCCCCAUUUGUAAUUAUCUGAAGUAUUUAUCUGCAUUAUAUCUGAAUUUAAUUGGAACGAUAUGAGCAAGCAGGAGUGUCUGUUUGUGGGCGGGGCUUGCUGGAGCAGCGAGGGAGGGGAGAGGAGGAGCUGAGGGGGAAACUGGUUGGGAGGGGUAGAGUUUACAUUCAAGAUUUCUCCUAAAAACUGGAACUUCCUCUGAUCCUGACUACCCCACCUUUAACAGGUUUUUUACAUACAUUAGAUAGCUUCGUCUCAAAUAUUACAUCCCUGCGAACGUCCCAUCAGGCGAUCGAGGCAAACACAGUCCUCCGAUUUUUUAUUAUCUGAGAAACUAAUUCUCUGUCACUUGUCAGAUGAACGUAGAAAAUCAACUCCAUGUUAUCACACUGUCUGUCCAACAUUUGCUAAUCCUUCUUCCCUCUGCAGCUUCUCCAUCUCCUCAAACACGCCAACAAACCAAGAGGGCGGCCUCCAAAUCGCCAAACCUGACGCUUCACAAAGACUGAAGAAGAACAGAGGCAGUCAGAGCUUGAACCAGCACACAGAUUCGCUCAUGAAGGAGAAUGAGCUGAUCUUUCACGCCAACAUUUUCAUUGACAGAGUGAUCCCCGCUCACCAGCUGCCCUUAUUAGAGACCGUCUUCAAACACACAAGAUGGCAGCACCUGUCCUGUGGGAUGGUUUGGCGUUGUGUCGGUGUGGUGGGAGGACGGAGGACAUGUGGUGGUUGAGGUGGACCAUCUGCACUCACUCAGUGUACCUGUUUGUUCUGCUGACAAUCUCAUCCCUGCAGAGAAGCACAGACAGAAAAGAGAGAGAUCUUCUCUGUUAUUAUGUCCCCGCCGCUGACAGGCUUUGGGUUUCUCUUCUCUACCUCUUCAUCCUCUCCUCAUCGGUUUCACGUGUGACAUCAAUCUUUGACUCUUUUCAAAUCCAAUCCUCUGACCUGAGAAAACAAUUUUCCACCUCCCCUUCACUCUGUCCUCUUUCUUCUCUCUUUGCACAGAGGAUUUCAUUAUCCUCUCAGAGCAGGAGCUGAUCACAUCUGAAGACACUUUUCCUCACCAGAUGAUGUUUUCCUCACCGGCCUCCAUCAUACCCUUCUCCUCCUCCUCCUCCUCCUCAGGGUCAUGCUGUGUGACAACCUGCCCUCAGCUAAACGCCUGAAGGAAACGCUCUCCUCUGACGACUGCUAUCAGCGUUUACAGAGCUGCACCAACACGCUGCCUUAAAGCCACUUUGGCAGUUUGUGAAACAGCAAAGCUCUCUUAGGCUGAAAGCUGGCUGACCGAAGGCUGUGCUCGCCGCUUUUCAUGCUGCGUUUGCGUUUGUCUUAAAUCUUCACACACAAUGAAAGAGCGCUCUCUCUAUCGCUCGUGUUAAAAAUGACAGAUUUAUUUCUGGCACAGAAUUUCGCACUAUUUCCAGACUUUGUCCUUUAAAAGAGAAGAUAAUCAUCAUUUUACAACCUUUUUUUUAAAAAGUCCACAAUGCCUUCCUCUCAAACAACUUCAUGUUGUGUUUACUUGGUUCAGCAGCAUCUUAGUCAUGUUUGUGAUGGUAGUCACAGUUUCCAGGGCAAUGCAGGGAUACAAUACUUUCCUCUUUCACAGGAUGAGUAUAUUUGACAUUUUUAACAUGCUUUAAGUCCUCUGAAUCUCUGCACAAACACCAGAGCAGAGGUUCACAGAGUGAGGGACACGACAGAGUCACGACAGGCUGAGCCAUCACCUUGACAUCUGAAUCAUUUACACAGCAGACUGAUAAACAAAAACACAAAAUAAACGAUAAAGGUUUUAAUUAAACUGGACUCUAAACUUGAGCUCCCCCUGGAUGAAGGAGACUGAAGAGCUCUCUGAAGUUUAAUUUGAUGUUUCAGUUUGUAGCUUUGUAAAUUGUUUUCUGGUGACUUUAUUCUCAUAUUUUUGUUUUUAUAUGUGGGAAAUCUAAAGUAAAGUGAAUGCUGCGUUUGAGUAUUUCAGUAUUUUUGAAGUGAGGUUGUCCCCGAGUGUCUUUAGUGUUUAAGCUACGAUAGAAGUCGCUCAGCUCAGCUCCACCCCUUUAAUGAGAAACCGCCACGAGGUCCAGCAUUUGGACUAGGCUACAGUUUUCUGUAGACUCUGAUUCAGUAAAUUUUCAGAUUUCCUGACACAAACUGCGGAACAGUACUGCAUUCACUUCCUAAAGAAAAAAAAAAAGGAAACUUUUUUGAGUAUUUUUUUUACUCUGCUGAGAUUAUUUUUUUUACUCUUUUUAGAUUAAUUUUUUUCUUCUUUCUGUUUUUGUAACUUUUUUUCUUCAGUUUUUUUUUGUUCCUUUCGAAAAAUUAGUCUGAAAAACAAAACAAAAAGGCUGAAAAACAGAAAAAAAAUUAGUCUGAAAAACAAAACAAAACCCCCCCCUGAAAAACACACAAAAAACAGUCUGAAAAACAGAAAAUUAGUCUGAAAAAAAAGUCUGAAAAACAGAGCUUUUAUUUAUUUUUAUGUUUUUGUUGAAUGCAAUACGCUUCCAUAACAAACUUUUACUCUCCUGAGAAAUUUUCCACCAGACAGACCAUCGUUCUUUUUUUCAGUUGCAAACACACAGUACGACUCUGGCUCGAACACGAACUUGUGACCGUACUCCAAAAAUACCGAAAUAUCCCUUUAAUGAAGACUGAAGAGGCCUUCUUUUGCAUAAAGAUCAGGAAUGACAUGACUAUUAGUCAACAGUGUCCCUGCAGUCCUGGGUUCGUGUCCUUGUAGUCCAUGAUCCAGUUGCGUCUCUCUUUAAGUUUUAUUUCUGGCGUAAAAAUUAAAAUGUAAAUUCAUGCAAAGUUUAUUCUAAAGCAUAAAGAGAUUACAGAUGAGAUAGCGUUGACUUCUUUAACUGUGAGAUCUAGGUUUAAUGACACAGUAAAGAUGCAUUGAAUGCAUGCACACUGGUGCAGGUGUGGGUUAAAUCUGCGUGUAAUUGGUUAUCCUCGCUCAGAUCAGACAUGUAAUUCAUCAUGUAAUCCCCGGGGGGGCUCGUAUUACAGGUGCUCCUACACUUCACCAUCAGAAAGAGUGACUCCUUGAUUAAUGUGCUUUAAUUUUUGAACUUUUUCAUGCUCAAAUUGGCUCUUUGGAGCUUUCUGAAAUGUCAUUUAACAAACAGGUUUGAUGAACAAAACCUUGUUAACGCUUCCCAUCCCAUGAGGCGUCAGAGCAGGUCCACUGAUUUUUUCCUGAAAAAGUUUUGAUCACAGAAAAGAGCAGCAGUUUAACCUUGUUCUUUUUAAAUAAAAAUGAUCUCAUCUUCAGCAGCUCAUUUAUAUCCACUCUGGACUCUGACUCUUUCCCUCUUUUUCAGCCAUACUUGGCGCUUUGCAUCAUCCUGUCUACCUCCAGUUUAGACAGAAAUAGAAGACAUAGAAGCAGUCAUAAAACAUGGUUUACACAUUCAUGUGUUAUCUUUGCACAUCCAACAAGACAAACGAGCUACGAUUGAAGACUUUAAGACCAGGUACGCAGGACUGGAACAUGGUGCAACAUCCUCAGCACUUAAAGUGGUGCUCUCUGGAUCGGGCUAUGUAUGCACACGUUCAGUACAAAGCUUGUGCAUGAACACAAUGCAUAAAAAGCCUCUGCAGUCCUAACAUGGAGGAGUAAAUCACAAAAAGUUUGUACCGUGUCUUCAAGGAGGUGUUUGCACAUCCCUCGAUCUUAUGAUGUGGGUGUCCAGGACAUGAAACUACAGUCUUGACAAGAGAAAACCCUUCACACCACCUCUGCCAAGCAUCACUGUUCCACUUUCUCAGCUGUGAAGACCAGAAUUCACACAGAGAAACUCUGAAAACUGAUUUCUAUCUGAGAAAAACUUAAAAAACUCAGUAACCACACAACACUUUCAAGCAAUACAAACUUUAAAGACCUCCUUUUCAGUCAUUAACUAUCCAAUUAUUAUUCAGUCCUCCAGCUAUGCCUGUAAAAUAUAAACACUACCACUUUAUUACCACUUUAUUAUCUAUCACAUCCCCUGUGGAGUCUCAGUUUUACAGUAAACAGUAAAUAACACUCAGACUUCACUUUAGGUGUAUUUUAGUAGUAUGAACUCAAGAAAAAAAACACUGUUCUUGUGAUUUUGUGUGAUUAACAGUAGUUAAAUUUGCUGAAAUAUCAGGAUCAUAAUCCAGAUUUCUAGUUAGUCUCAGUUUCACUGUAAACUUCACAAAGGCCACACUCUGACUCUGAGCUACUUCAGCAGCAUCAACCUGGAUAAAGAACUAAUGUUCUUGUGAUUAACUUGGAAAUACUUUGUUUUAAGUUUGUUGAUGUAUUAUAACUCAGACUUCUGGUGAGUCUCAGUUUCACUGUAAACAGUAAAUAACACUCAGACUUCCCUUUAGGUGUACUUUAGUAGUAUGAACUCAAGGAAAAAAAACUAUGUUCUUGUGAUUUUGUGUGAUUAACAAGAGUCAAGUUGAAAUCUCAACAUCAUCAUCCAGAGUUUAAGUGAGUCUCAGUUUCACUGUAAACUUUACUCUGUCUCUCAGUGGCAUCAUCCUGGAUGAAAAACAAAGUUCUUGUGAUUGACUUGGGGUUAUUCGGUUUUAAGUUGGUUUAUAUUAUAUUAUGAUUCAGACUUCUGGUGAGUCUCACUUUCACUGUAAACUAAAAGGAUCUUCACUCUGAAUUACUAAAGCAUCAUUAUCCUGGAUAAGAAACCAGUUUACUUCUUAAUAACCUGUAACAGCUUGGUGUUGAGUUUGCACCUAUGACAUACUUAUUUAGAUUUCUGGUGAGUCUCAGCUUCACUGUGAGUGUUUCAUUACAGUCAGGCUGCUCUCUCUGGCUUUUUUCAACUUAAGUAAAUACAUUGUUCUUGUGAUUUUCAGAGAGUCUCAGUUUAGCUGUAAUUCUGAUUUCGAGCUUAUUCAGUGUCAUCAUCCUGGAUAAAAAAUCUGUUUGCUUUAUAUCUACUUGUUGUUAACUGUUUAGUCUCAGCUUCACUGUAAGUCAAGAUUAUUUCAUCAGUAUGAACUCCUCAAGAGAAACCAGUUUUCUUUGAUAAUGAACAGGUCUUAAUUUUGUUUUAAUAGGAUCAUGACUGGUGUUUCUGUUGAGUCUAACCCCCAGUUUCCACUGCAUCCGGAAUGGCUACAAAAAGGUUGUAUCUGCCGAUCGUAGCUGAUCGUAACCAUUCAAGUUAACAUGUCAAUUUCCACCGGCUUCUUUAUGUUCCGCUGCGGAUUGCCGGACUCCAUAGCUGAUCACAAGAUUUCUAUUUUUUCCGGAUGCCGGAGCAUGCCGGAUAAAUUCAGCACAGAUUAACCCAUGCUGGAAAGGAAGUCGGGCACAGACACAAAAUAAAACAUCUGGCUUCUUUUCAAAAUAAAACACUGUGUUUCAGGCGGAUCGUAUUUCACAGCAUGCAAACGGUUGGAGACGAACAAGUUAAAGGUUUUUACACGUCAUUUCACCCCGAUGACACCAUGGAUGAGGAGAUGCUGAUUCUAGAAGUCUAAAGGUAGAUUUCCUCCUCUGGAAGGACACAAUCUACUGCUUAUACAUCUAUGUUGCUGUCUUUAUGGGUUCUUGUGAGUUCCCGUGAUUCCUGCUGUCCGUAAUCCACCAAGAAAUUUGCCUCACAAAUGUAUCUGAUAGGAACUGGCAGAUGGCAAAAAUCACUGUCGUUCAGGAUGUGGUGGAAAUUCGGGGUCAGUUUUACUGUAAUUAGCAAGCUACACACAGGCUCCUGUCAGCUGAAUUCAGCUGUUAACUCCUGAAAAGAAACCUAGUUUUUUUGUGAUUUACUGAGUGAGAUUAGUGCGCAAGACUCAGGAUUAGCCUCGUGUCUUUCAUCGGACACGUCCUGCAACUUCUUAUUGUGGUCAUUUAGAUUCCACAUGACGUAAAAUGAGGGUCAUAAAAUCCUGGAAUCACCUUUGAGGACAGAGGAAGCGGCACAGAAACACUCCCUCAGCUCCAGGAUUAACAUUUAGGGAACAUCGAGAAGCUCCACCAGGAACAACAGGGAGAUAAACAGACGCCAUCAGUUUGUGAUUUAAGGUCAUGUGACCUGAUAAUCGAUCAGCACAGAAUCACAGGAGCAUCUGCAGGAAUAGACACAUUUCUGAUUCACACACACACACACACACACACACACACACACACACACACACACACACACACACACACACACACACACACACACACGCACAGACACAUGGAAAAACCUCCAGCCGAGAGAGACACACAGUGGCUAACUAAAAGCCUGAAACGCCUGAAAUGAUAAUGGCCAUUAAUUUCAGAUUACUGUACAGAGCACAUUAAGGUUAGCCGACUUCAGGCUGGAAAUGAAAGUGGUCGCCAGACUAAUUAACCACACUGAGAUCUAUCAUAAAAGUGAGAAAAUGCCAGCUCCCAACACAACAAACAAGAUUAAUCUCUGAACUGUAGAUAAAGAUGAAACACAGAGAAAGGUUGCUCCGUUCAGUCUGAGACUUUCAGGGGUUAAAUUGUUCCAGGAUUUACACUUUUUAUAUGGCCCAAUGUUUCUCUGCUUCUCUGCAAAGCGGCUGCUGGAAAAAUAACCAUAAAUCACAAACAUUAGCUUCCAUUAGACGGAGAGGAGGAGGUGAACCCGUGGAGGACGAGGCGGGAGAGGGAAAAGAGAGGUGAAAGAUGGGGGAGUCAGCUGUGAAAAAUGACUGGAAAAAAAAAACUGGAGCUGAAAUGAAAGGAUGAAAGGUGGGUGGUUCAGUGUGGAUUUAAUGGGAUGCUACAACAGCUCGUGUGCAGUGAAAUGCACAGAGCCGAGGGAUUAAUGGAAAACAAUUGUCCUGAAAACAUUGUUAUUGAUAAUGAGACAUAGUGAUGUUAAGAGCAAAGACAAAAGGGGCAUUUAGGCGUGAAGAAGAAACAAACGGCUCAUUGACGAUGAAGACGAAAAGUCAUGUGGAGGAAAAAGACCCUCCGAGGGAUGAAGGCCAAACAGUUAUUUUCUAAUGAAUGUAAAGGAUUGUAUUCGACGCCUUUUCGGGUGUUAUGGACUGAACAUUACAACACUGUCAGGGCAGUUAGCAUAAAUCUAGUUGGUACAAAAUAACCACAAACAGAAAGCCCGCCAUCGUCUGAAGAUACUCAGUCUUUACAAUAACAGACUAUCCAGGUAAGUCUAAUAAACACCAGGAAGAGGAAUAGACUCUGAGCCUAAAGGGUUAAUCGACAUGUAAAUAUUAAACGUGAAAAAAAAAAGAAUGAAAAAUGAAUUAAAUACAAAGAGUGGUCGGGCUUUGGUUUCUCUGUGAAGAACACAAUCCACGGCAUUGACAUCCCGACGUCCAGCAAGAGUAAACCGAUGACAGUUUACUUUUCUGUGUGAACAGAUAUCUGUUUUAAAGGUCAGCUGACAGUCUAUCUGUUCAUUAAAGGGAUAUUCCAGUGUAAAAAUAAUUUAGGGUCAAACACACCAUAACACUGAGUUAGACACCCCCUCCAGAAAUGAAUGUUGCCGACCGCUUGCUUCUCUAGUUAUACCAACUUUAGUAACGACCGCAGGAUAGCAAUACACAGCGGUCUGAGAAGCCAUAAACAAACCUCAACCAAAACGCCACUCUGUAGCCACAAAUAAUGCUCAGAACAGCACCUAACUUCAUCAACAGGACAUAUAGGGUCCCAGCCAUAGUACUAGCCACCGAACAUCUUUUUAACUUUGACUAAUUUCUUUAGCAAAGAGACUAAACACAAGUCACCUACUCUCUUCCAGCAGCCGCUUGUUUGUAGUGUGACCUCAGGCCAGUCCAUAACGGACUACAGCGGGGUAACGCAGCUCAAGGAAGAACAUUUUUGAUCAUUUCUUUAUCAUUUCCUUGAAGUAAUAAUCAUCAUAUUAAUCAUUUUGCACUGCAGACGCGGUAGUUCUUCUGCCUUAGCAUCUCGAUCUGAUUGCAUUUCCAUGAAGAAAUGAUCAUAAAUGUUCUUCCUUGAGUUGUGUCACACCACUGUAGUCCGUAAUGGACUGGCCCAGAGGUCUUGCUACAAACUAGCAGGUGCUGGAAGAGAGUAGGUGAGUUGUGUUUGGGUGGAGUCUUCAAAGUCGUUUAUUACAAACCAAAGUCCUCAAACUUCACGGUAAUCUCAGGAGAUCCCCAGAUGGUUCCUGAUCUGAGAUUGUUUUCAGGCAGAAAUCAGUCUGAUACUGAAACAUACUCAGUUUUUUUUAUCAUUAUUUUUCAGUUUUGGCCCGGUGUUGGUGUUAGUCGUAUGCAGCAGAACAGUCUGUGUGAAAAGGAGAAAAAGGAGCAGGCCUGGAAUCAGCUCUGAAACAUUGGCAGCCAUAGCAGGGGUCUUAUUUUAGUUCCAGCACAGCCAAUGGAUUUGGAGAUCUAGAUGAAAAGACACAUUUGCAGCAUUGCUGGGUGAAAAGGUCUUUUUUUGGCAGAUGGAUUUGGCUUUGGGAGAUCUGCUGUAUGGAUGUUAUUGUUGAAACUGUUAAUUUUUCCUCUUUGUUGUUUUUUUUCAGACUGCUGUUUUCAUAAAAGCAUCUGCUGGUACAUUGUUUAGUCGAACCCACACUGAGGGGAGGGUUCAGGGGAUCUGAAGCUGUAAGGAGGGGCUGUGGGCGAAGGGUGCGCGGGUCGUCCACUUCACAACUUUAACGAUACGGGAAAGUUAGACGUCAAGUUCAGGAGGAGAGUUUUGUCAUCAGGUUGUGUGGAUCUGAAAUGGAAAUGAGCACACGAUGGACCAUUAGAGUCGAAAUGGAGGAGCUCUCCUCACGCUCAGGGUAGUUAGUCAGAACAUGUGAAUUUAUGCAAAAAAAAAAAACAGACUUAUGAAACCUGCUCACGCUUGUUGUGAGGAAGCAGACGUUCCUCUGAGAGUCUUUGAACAGACCUUCUGUCAGACGCACAUUUGACUUAGUUGAUGCAUGAAUGAUGUCUAAUGUCGUCCAUCUUUACUGCGCCUUCUCUCAUAGUCGCCUGAGAAGACAGAAAAAUGUCCUCUUUUAUUCAUCUGCAUCUUUCUGACACCUUCAGACAAAUGAUUCACUCAGCAGGAAGACGGCUACGAUUUUCAAUACCCCACCAUUAAGAGCAGCGCGCUCACCCGCCUCUGAGGACUCCCACAUUGUGAGCUGCUCCCCUCUGGAACCUUACGUGGGUGCUAUUAAUCCUGCCGCACCGUGGGAAGCCUUUGUGCCGCCUGUCUCUCACUGUUUGUCCUGAUCGUCUCCAUUCAAAGCUGACAAAUAUCACCACAGGAGCCACAACGCCGCCACUGCCGCCGUAUAGACACCUGCAGACACAGCAGAUCUUCAGGGGACAUCGCAUCACACCAAACUGACAAAGUCAUCAUGAAUAUGAAAGGAGAGAAAAACCAGGACCGAUGGCAACAGUCUGUUUAGGGCAAGUUUAGUGAUUUAACACUUAUUCUGAUGAUUAAUGGAGUAAAACCAAAAAUGAAAUAUUCAGUGUAUUAUUAUUAUGGCUGGGACUCAAUUAAAAAAUGUAUCUAAUUAAUCGCAUUUUAAUCGCAUAUCAAUAUUUGACCUGAGAAUAGUGAGAAUAAUUUCUUAAAGUGGUCUACAAGUGAAUCAGUGACUAGUAAACUGAAUGAAUACAUGAGCUUAAACAAAUAAAAUCUUGAUUAUUUUCUUUUCACUGUGUAGUAGUCAGGAUCCCUGCCCACAAACAGUCGCUCCUGCUCGCUCCUAUCAUUCCAGUAAAAUUGCAGAUAAAUACUUCAGAUAAUUACAAAUGGGGCCCAGUCAAUGUGAAAGUAAAAAGCAUUGGUGCUACUGGAGAUGCCAACACACUACCAGCAAACACAAUGUUUGCAGGACUUCUACAACUAGGAUAAAGUGACAUAGUCCAGGACCAGAGGUCAACAGUUUAGUGGCGCUACAACACACUACAGAAGGUCCCGUUUGACAAGAAACACUUCUGUUACAGACACUUGGGUUACUUUGUUAAAGUGGUUUACCUGUCCAGCAGAAAGGUUACAGGGUCACCAAGAUCCCCAAGCAUUCCCCAUCAUUUAUGUUGAUCCGGCUUUUUAGCUCUUGUCCGGUCUACCUCCUUUUCAAGCACCCGUUAUUCCGCCAGAGUCUCCGGUAUUUGAUCGUUCAUUUUUGCGUGAGCUGGAGUCACUGCUGCACUCACUCACAUUGGGGUGCACUGGUAUAAGCAGGAUACCUGAACUCGUCCAGAAACGUUCUGCGGUACAAAUAUACAGUAGGUGCAAUUGAUAUGAGUUAAUAUUUUUAAUGAGAUAAUAUUACUGUAAUUAAUUAAUCACCUCAAGUGGAGGAGUUCAAGUAUCUCGGGAUCUUGUUCAUGAGUGAGGGUAGGCGGAUCGGAGUUGCGUCAGCAGUGAUGCAGACGCUUUACCGAUCAGUCGUGGUGAACAAAGAGCUGAGUCGUAAGGCCAGACUCUCGAUUUACCGGUCGAUCAACGUGGCGAUCCUCACCUAUGGUCAUGAACUUUGGGUAAUGACCGAAAGAACAAGAUCACGGAUACAAGCGGCUGAAAUGGGUUUCCUUCGCAGUGUGGCCAGGCUCAGCCUUAGCGAUAGGGUCAGACACUUGGGAGGCGCUCAGAGUAGAACCGCUGCUCCUCCACAUCGACAGGAGUCAGCUGAGGUGGCUCGGGUAUCUGGUUAGGAUGCCUUCUAGACGCCUCCCUUUAGAGGUGUUCCAGACAUGUCCCACCGGGAGGAGACCUUGUGGCCGGCCCAGGACCAGGUGGAGGGAUUAUAUCUCUCGCCUGGCCUGGGAAUCCCCCCAGAGGAGCUGGUGGAAGUGGCUACGGUGAGGGCUCGUCUGUGCUUCCCUCCUGAAGCUGCUGCCCCCACGACCCGGACCCAGAUAAGCAGAAGAAAACGACAAUGAAUUAAUCGCAAUUAACCCGUUAAAGUCCCAGCCCUUAUUUUUACCUUUACUGCUGUAACAAUGCCGUGAGAAUAUUAAAGGGUUAUCUUGUCUUAUUUCUAAAUAAAUGUACUGACCACCAGAGUUCUCCAUUUGGUUUAAUAGCUUUUAUAUUUUUACACUUUAUCUAUAAGUUCAGUUUUUUUCCUGCAGAUCCUGUUUUUCCGCUCCGUGGAUUUUGACACAGCUUUAAAACUCACUUCAGAUACAAACUUUUGCAGUAGUUAGAAACAAAAUAAGCUAUCUGUCACAGUGAGAGCUCCAUAAAUCACCCAAAGCUGAGUCAGACCAGCCGGGGGAAAAAGAGAGAUACUCUCCAGAUAAAAUAUGAUGCACUUUUCCCAAAAUAAGUGUAACAAAUCAGUUUAUAUGUCAGAUUUAUCAGCGCCAAAUAUUUUUCUCUCCGAGCGACUGAGCUGCCAUUUUGGUGGGGCCCAGGUGAUGGUGGUUUCUGCUGACUGCGGAGGUGAGAUGACAACCAGAAUCUAAUUGCACCAAUUUUUCAAGUAGAGAAACCGUACGACUGUAACAGUUCACCAAAUUGAGCAGACUCAUUUAAAAUGAGAUGCAGAAGUUUGGAAAAAACGAAAAUGAAUCUCUGUUCACUUCACCUGCUUUUGGUCAGUGGAAAAAUUUCACCUGCACCAAAGUUUGACUGCCAGAGAUGAAUCUGGAGAGUUUUACAGACUCGUUUAUAAUCCGGAUCAGACUAAAAGGCAGAAAAAUGAACGUUUAACAGUCACCUAUAACUUUUCUGCUCCAGCAUCUCCUUCGAUUUAUGUCUGUGACAGUCUUCAGGUAAAAAUACAGUCACCCUGUCCUGCACAGAGGUAGAUACACUACAUAUACCUGCCUGUACGCUCCAGCACCUCUGUGAACUUGGAGUAAAUGUUGAUGGAGCGUUGAGGCUGAAACUGAGAGAUGUUAGCGUCUGAAAUGGCUGAUUUGCCUCCUCACACAGGCUGACAGCGUUUACUGAAGCAGGGAUGAACAAAUGUGCUCUGCAGAAGCCGUGAUAUUGGAUUUCAAACACACAUUCACCGCACUUCCUGCAAAACUCAGCUCAACUUUUCCCUUCUCUCUCUCUCUCUCUCUCCUCCACACGACUCUCCAUCAUUUUCCGGCUGCACUUUGUACCCUUUCUGGAACAAAAAAAAUAAAAAAGGCAGCAAUCACAGGUCAGAGGCAACAAUUCAUGUUGGAUGUUUCUUCCCUUUGAGUGCUUCUAACCAGAAAAAUGCUUUUACCACUUCCAUUUGAUUUUUUAUUGUCCUGCCCUCACACGGCACAAUAUUUCGGUUUAUGCAGCAGCAGGAGCGACAGAAUGAAUCUGACCUGCAGGAAAAUAAAUCCUGCUUUGUGUGUAAAUAAGUGCAGUUUUAACGCAGUGUGACAGAUUCAGAUUCGGCGUAGUUACACAGAGUGUUAAUGAACAUUUGCAUCUGUAUUAUGUGCACUAAAACACUCUGCUGGUCUGAUAUUACAUUUAUGAUGUGCACAUGUUUUCUAACUCUCUCCUCAGGCUGUAUAUGUCACAUAUGUGCAUAUGUUGCAUAUUACAUGUUACGUACAUACUGACAUGUCUGUGCAUGUUCCCCCUCUGACAUGACGAUGGCAGCUGAGACAGCAUCACUGCGGUGCAGCGGUGCAUUUCUCCUGCAACAUUCAAAGGGAGCGUCAGCACUGAGUUCAGUCAUUUUUCUGAUGAAAUGCCUAUGUUUCCCAUAAUGCAGGUUGACUAAUGUUUGCAGGCUCACUUGUUUAGCUGGAGUAAAAAGAAAUAUGAGCUCCAAACUGGGUCAAAGUUUGAGUGCAUGACUUGCUAAAGAGUAGAAAUGAAGCAGGAGACGAGCGAAAAUCUUAUUUUUCUGCAUGUGCUGCAUGAACAGUUUUUGUUCAAAUGUGUAAUUUUAAGGUAAUAAUAUGGCAGCGAUUGUUUGUAGACAUCUGCAUGAACUAUAUUUUGAUAACAUACAGUACAGGCCAAAAGUUUGGACACACCUUCUCAUUCAAUGCAUUUUCUUUGUUUUCAUUACUAUUUAAAUUGUAGAUUCUCAAAACUAUGAAUGAACACAUGAGAAAUCAUGUGCUUAAGAAAAAAGUGUGAAAUAACUGAAAACAUGUUUUAUAUUUUAGAUUUCUCAAAGUAGCCACUCUUUGCUUUUUUGAUAGCGCUGCAAACUUUCGCUGUUCUCUCAAUGAGCUUCAUGAGGUAGUCACCUGAAAUGGUUUUUACUUCACAGGAGUGCCUGAAGUAAGCCUGACAAGGUACUUCUGUCAUCAAGAGCAAAGAGUGGCUAUUUUAAAGAAACUAGAAUAUUAAGAAUGUUUUCGGUUAUUUCACACUUUUUUUAUAAGUAAAAAAUUCUACAUGUGUUCAUUCAUAGUUUUAAUGCCUUCAGUGACAAUCUACAAUGUAAAUAUAAAAUAUAAUAUUAUAAUAUAUGUCAUAUAAAAAAAAAAGAAAAGACAUUGAAUGAGAAAGUGUGUCCAAACUUUUGGCCUGUACUGUAUAUUAAAUAUUUACAGAUUUCAAGCAGUUAGUGAUGAAUGACUUCAUAAUUCACACUCAAACUUCAGAUGCAACUCUAUUACCUCACUGAGCCCUAGAUGUCCAUCUAUAAUCGUCUAAAUUGGAUCAAUCGGUCUAAAUUUGAUCAAUCAAUCAAAUUCAAUCAAUCAAAUUUAAUUCAAAUUAAAUUUAUAUAGCGCCAAUUCACAACAGUCGUCAUCCCAAGAUGCUUUUCAAAGAACAAGAGCAGGUCUAGACCACACUCAUUGUUUGAUAGAUUAUCAAGACUCAACCUAAAAUGGGAUUUUAGCCCGAAUCUAGAUGAUAGAAUUUAAUCAAUUAAUUAUUAAAUAAAAAAACAACUGUAAGUGUAGUUUAGUCUCUAAGAUGGCUAGUAUUAGCUCAAACCACUAAAAAACGUUCAUUUUUGGUAGACCAAUUUUAGCCCAGAUGUCUCAGGACCAUUAGAUGUCUAUCAAACGUCUUUUAGACUGAAAAAUUCUCAGUGGGGCAGAUCAAAAGUGUUUUGACAGAUUUUUUUUACAGACUGUUUUACUCGUAGAAACAAAGGUCUGCUGUUACUCAGACUAUAGCGGAAUUCAAACAGGGAGCAGAAACACUCUUCAGACCAAAAUCCAGACCCAGAGUCAAGUUUAAAGUUUACACUCUCACAAAUAAGUCAGUCGCAGUCUUUGGGAGCUGCAGUGACAAAUCUGGGACAACAUUAAAAAACUGCCUUUAACAUGUUUCAGUGAUCCAUCAAAAUAAAACAUCCAUGUUCUUCUAAAAUAAUGACCUUAACGGUGGGGUAGUCAGGAAUCUGUUAAAGAAGCAUCUUUUUUUGUGGUGUAUUUACAAAAAAUCUUUUAAUAUCAGUCAUUAGUUAUUAGUUAUUGAUGACAUUUGGUAAUUGAAUUAUAUCUCUGUGUUCUGUCUGUGUAGUCAACAUUUUAACAUUUUUGAGUGGUCCGCUCUUUCUGGCUGUAAAAAAGGCCGUUCUCCACCUCCCCAACCUGAUUGGUUGUGAGACAGAUGCUGCUCCUUCGCGUUGUGAGGCACGCUCCAUGUCCUCGAAUAACAUUCAUGAGCCCAAACAAAGUUAGCGUGCUACAAUAUCAGACAGUAGAAACCAACCAGAAAGUACGGAAAAUUGUCUGAAUCCUCCUUUAGCCACGACUGCCAACAAAAGCAAGAAAAGGAAGUAAAUAUCGGAGACUCUGGCGGAAUAACGGGCGCUUAAAAAGGUGGUAGACUGGACAAGAGCUAAAAAGCCGGGUCAACAUAAAUGAUGGGGGACGCUUCUGGAUCUUGGUGACCCUGUAACCUAUCUGCUGGACAGGUAAACCGCUUUAACAAAGUAAGCCAAGUGUUUGUAACAGAAGUGUUUCUUGUCAAACGGGACCUGCUGUAGCGUGUUGUAGCGCCGCUAAACUUUUGACCUCGGGUCCUAGACUUCGUCACUUUAUUGUGUUUGCUGGUCGUCUGUUGGCAUCUACAGUAGCACCCAUGCUUUUUACUUUCACCUUGACUGGGCUCCAUUUGUAAAUAUCUGAAGUAUUUAUCUGCAUUAUAUCUGAAUUUAAUUGGAACGAUACGAGCGAGCAGGAGCGUCUGUUUGUGGGCGAGGCUUGCUGGAGCAGCGAGGGAGGGGAGAGGAAGAGCUGAGGGGAAAACUGGUUGGGAGGGGUAGAGUUUACAUUCAAGAUUUCUCCUAGAAAGUGGAACCUCCUCAGAUCCUGACUACCCCACCUUUAAGUGGAAAUAAUGUCCUCAGAUCUUUACAUAUUUGGGUUCGAUGGCUGACAGCGUUAAAUCUAAUGUCUGUUUCAGAGUGAGGCACUUGUUUAAACAGUGAAUUAAUCUGGACUCUUAUAUUGUAAUGAAAAGAAAACAAGCUGGAAUAAACCUGCAUGCGAAACUAAAGUAAGUGUGAGGAUGAUAAGAUAUAAAGAGGCAGCAGUCCAGAUAGGAGAGGCAGAGCAGGGUAAGUCUUCAAGUGUGACAGAGUCACUUAUGUAAGCCAUUUAUCUUUAAUGCCGUCUCUAAAUCUUGUGAAUGGAUGGAGCCAAAAUCACUUAUUCUAAUGCAUCACUUGUAUGAAUAAAUGAAAACUUAGAGUCGGUUAUCUGGAACAUCAAAAUAAAUAAUGAAACAUGCAGGACAGGCAGUUUAAUACUCGGUUUGACCUCACUGAGCAAGUCUGAGAGUGUGACAGGAACGACUCAUAACCCUCACUACUGAUUUGUUACAAUCACUGGUGGAAGAGAAGUGACAAACACCGGUGACUGAAACCAAUCCUUGAAGAAACAGAGGCGUCUAAAGUUAUUAUAGUAUUCACUGAGAGGAUUUCAGAUACAGACAUGUCUCUUUUACCUUUAACUGUCGGUCAUCAUCACCAUAAUGAAAUUAAAUGCUUUAAAACAAUGAGUAAAUGCUCAUUUAGCUCCAACAGUAUAAUAAUGUUUUUAAUGUUUGAAUGGUCUGUUGCUCCAAUAAAUAAAAAAAAGAGCAUUUUCUGCUAUUAACCAUCAUUUUCUUUGCUUAAAUGUUCACACAGUCCAGGUUCAGCUCAACAAACCCAUCCUUACGUAUUAGAUCCAUGUUUUAUUUACACAUGUGCUCCUCUGAAUGGCCGGUGGUGUGAGCAGGUUUAAGAAAAGAUGGCAUCCUUCGUCUUCAUCCUUCUUCAACCUGGAUGUCUGCCUCUCCAGGGCCUGAGUCAGCAAAAGUCGUAAUCCAGAAAUAAGCCUUUACUAAUUAAAAUAAUCGUUGUUACAUCCCUGAAUUCCUCCUCUAAAAGCAGGGAAAUAAAUUAGAGAGUAGAGGAAUCAUCUCCAGUGAAUGCUUGGAGUGUUUAUCUAGUAAGAGCAAACAAAAAAGUCUUCAUUAAACUUUAAUAAUGAACUUUAUAUUCAAUGAAGUGUGAAAUCACAGGCUGUGGCUGCAUCUGUCUUCAGAGGAGACGCUUACAGUCGGAGUUUGACUUCCACUUCAGUUUUCGGUUAAAAAAAAACUUUCUUCGCUGAUGUUUUCUGCUCUGUCACAUCCGACAUUUCCUAAAAUAACAAAGAAGGAAAUAAAUAUCUGUAACACAAAUAAAGUUUCAUUUUUAAACUUGGAAAUGUGGGAAAACAAGUCAUAUAGAUAAAACUCCAACACAGAGAACGAUAAAUGUCCAUGUGACAGGGUGACUGCCUGAACUAGCACCAAGGCUUUGCUCCAGUUUUUGGCUGGUUAUAAAACUGACAGGAAUUAAGAAAUGUAGGAACACUGGAGGAACUGCAGCCUGUGCACCACUCCAUUAUCGUGCCAUCCCUUAAUAUUUGACAAUAUUUUAUGGGAGUCGAAUUCAAAAAGGUAAAUUUCAUUUUAAAAAUGUUUGCUAAUGUUAUUGUGCGAGCUAAGGUGAUGCUAAAAUUCUAAUGUUUAGUGUGGAUUCAGUUUAAAUGGUUUUAAAAAGCGUUCAGAGGUUAAGUUUAGUGACUGAAUUAACUAAGGCAACAUUCAACAGACAGCUAGCAGCACUCACCCGUCACUCAAAGAGGCCCCGCCCCCUUUAUAUUCAUGUCUAAUCUUUAAUAUAAUGUAUACUUAUGAGUCCCCUAUAAGUUUAGCUGUUUGCUUAUUUCAGCUGUGAAAGUUGGACUUUUUACCAUGGGGUUCUGUAGGGAGUGGCUCUCUUUUGAACACAGCCUCUAGUGGACACUGGAGGAACCGCAGUCUGUACAUCAUUCCAUUAUCAUGUCAUCCCUUAAUAUUUGACAAAUACGUCAUGUGACUCUUCUUCAAAAAAGGUAAACUCCAUUUCUAAGCUGUUUGCUUUCGUAAUUGUGCGAGCUAAGUUGAUGCUUACAUGCUAACAUGCUAAUGUUUAGCGUUUAUUCAGUUUAAUGGCUGUAAAAAGUGCCCAGAGGUUAAGUUUAGCGACUGAAUUAACUGAGGAAACAUCAGACAGAUGGCUAGCAGCUCUCACCUGUCACUCAAAGAGACCCCGCCCCCUUUAUAUUCAUAUUUACCCUUUAAUAAAAUGUUAACAUAUGGGUUUUUCUCUAAAUGUAGCUUUUAUCUUAUUUCCGCUGUGUAAGUUGGAUGUUUUAACAUGGGGCUCUAUGGGGACUGACUCUUUUUUGGACACAGCCUCUAGUGAACUCUGGAGGAAUUGCAGUUUGUACAUCAUUCCAUUAUCAUGUCUUCCCCCAACAUUUGACAAAUACGUCAUGUGACUCUUCUUUGAAAAUUGUAAACUCCAUUUAUUAAGCUGUAAAGUUUGACUUUUUAACAUGGGUUUCUAUGGGGACUGACUCUCUUUUAGACACAGCCUCUAGUGGACACUGGAGGAACUGCAGUUUACUUCAAGUUCUGUGCUGGAUUGGCUCGUGGAGAAAAUUCCAGAAGCGAUGGGUUAGCUUAUUGAUCAUAUGAGUGUCAGGUUCUUAUGGUAGAGGCUCAAAAAUUUAUUUCUAUUUUCCGUCCUGCGGAAUGAUUCUGAACCACACAGAUUUUCAAGCAUUCGUAGGGAUAAAGAGACACGUUUAGCCACUAAACCUCAGAGAUAUUUGAUUUAACUCUGUGAAGUCAGUCAGAUAAAGCUGAACAUGGACACAGAGUGAAUCUAUCAGAUAAAAACCUGAGCUCACACAGAGACAGCAGGCUCAGCAGUGACAGCAGGUCACCUCAAUCCUCUAAUCAGCCUCACCUUUUGGACUCAGAAAAAGGCAGCGCACACUAAAGCUGUCUCUGCAGAGGCAGCGCUGCACCUCUUCAGCCUGCUCACUGUGUGCUCUUUGAAAGCCACGAAAUGCCAGCUCGUACCCUUCAAUCAGAAGCCAGGGUAAUUUGACGGAAAUGGUCAACACCGCCGUGUGCUUUUGCAUUCAGAAGACAUCUGUGAGGGGAAUAAUAAAAACCAAGAAGAUACAUGUAAGGAGUUUCGUCGAUGUAAAGCUCGGCGGCAGCGAUCCUUCAGAAAACCUUCAGCUGUGCUGAAUCUCCUCAGUGAUCAGGCAAUUUAAGAGACAAAGAGACACCUGGAAGGUUAAAGCUGAGGACAGAGGAGGGGUUGAGAAGGGCAACCUCAUAUUACAGCAGCGAAUCACUGAGUCACAGAGCGAUUACUGUGACGGUGGAAUAACUCAAAUAUAUGAAGCAGCGGGAGAGAAGGAGAUUGUGUAUGAGAAAGAAGAAAGAUAAAGAGAGAUUGAAUCUAUUCCUCAGUGAUUUUCCUCACUGUAUGCCUCAGUGAGCUGGGUCAGCACUCUGUCUAAUAAAUGGAUAUUUCUGAUCAUUAUUCAAGUUGCUUUCUGUCUGUGUACGUUCACAGAUUUCACAGAGUUGCAGGAGGAAUAAUAAUCCUCUGAGUCCUGCUCUGCUCAGAGGAUGGAUGGUGGAUGUUGUGGCCUGAAAUCCUUGUUUCUGUUGUUUCAGGGACUAACAGGAUCCUGAGAGGAGUUUAGGAGGGCGGUCUUCAACAGAUGGAUGUCUUUGAAUCCUUUCACUAAUCAGGACAGUAAGCAGAGAUGAUGUCUGGUCCCAGAUUCACCAAAAAAGAGAAACCAAUGAAGAAGCACAAACUGCAGUUCUAUGAGUGUCCACUAGAGGCUAUCUUCAAAAGUGAGUCAGUCCUCAAAGAGCUCUGUGUAAAAACGUCAGACUUUAACAACAGAAAUAAACGUGUUCACAGCCUGGUGUCAAAAAAAUAUUUGGGUCUUGGAGGAUUGGCUUUGUCUCGUACUUGAUUUUAUUUAAUUUUUUUCAUUUUCUGACAGCAAAGUAAUUCCAGGGAAAAAUCAGCAAAUCACAAACAUCAAAUCAAAUCAAUCAAGUGACACCUGUCAUACAAAAGGAUGUAACGCAAAGUGCUUUACAGUUAGUUUAAAAACCAAAAACUAUUCGAGAUCCCAACCCACACACAGGGCCAGUGGAGGGAUGAGUCAGACACCAACCACCAGAAACCCUGUGACAAGCCCCUGCAACCACAAGGGACCACCGCUCCUGGUGAUAAAAACAAGUAAAAACUAAAAUAUGAAUAAAACACAGACCUAAAAUAAACCUAGGCUAACUAGAAUAAAUGAAGAUAAAACAAAUAAAUAUCAAUUAAAAGCUAAAAAGGUGGGUCUUGAGCCUGCUCUUAAAAACACGAAUGUUCUCUGCGGCCCUGAGGUCCUCUGGCAGGCUGUUGCAUAGAUGAGGGCCGUAAUAUUGAAAAGACGCCUCACCAUGAGUGUGUGUCCUGACUUUUGGAAUGACUAGGAGCCUGCUGCCAGAGGAGUGCAGGGUCUGUGAAGGUUCAUAAGGUAAAAGCAGUUCUGAAAGAUAAGAAGGCCCAAGACCAUUAAGACAUUUAAAAACAAGUAAAAGAACCUUAAAAUCGAUCCCAACACACACAGAGAGCCAAUGCAAUGAUUUUAAAACCCUUGUAAUGUGGGCCUGCCUCCUGGUCUUGGUCAGGACACGCUGAAUUUUAUAAUAAUUGUAGACCUGAAAUAUUCCUUUUGGGAAGAGCAGAAAGCAGGGCAUUACAAUAGUCUAUACGACUUGUGAUAGAACCCCUAACCCCUCUUCUACCACCUCAGAAAACCUCACUUUAAAGAGCGAACUAUCCCUUUAAGAAUGUCUUUUGACAGAGCAGAUUAGCAGGUGUCAGCUGUUUCUGUCGCCUCAUUUUGAUGGAUCACGCCAGACCUCAUAAAUUUCUGCAUAUCCCCCCGACACCACCACCAAUCUUCAACAAACUGAGAUCUCGGCGGAGAAUUAAAGCUCUCUGUCUAAUAUAAUAAAAAAAAGUGAUUGACAGCAGCGGCUACAGCAGCUUGUCUCCCUCAGCCUAACUUAUAUCAUCUGGGAGAGGUUACACCGAGUCACACCAGUCUGCGAGCAGGAGGUUCAGGCGCCAUCCAGCAGCCGGCGGCUACAGUGAGCAGAGAGAAAAGAAUGUUCUGGAUCAAUACCUGCCUCUUGGAGGAGGUGUGCACGCUCGGCUCUCACCCACAGUGUCCGUGGGUGUCAGUCAUCAUUAACUCGGUGGUGACGGGUGAGGAGGCGGGUGUUCUGGGAGACUGGAGCACAAAGGUUGGACUGAGGGGGACAAGAAGAGAGAUUUGGAGUGAGAGAAGUUUAGUUUGGUCAGAAAGUGCCAAACUUUCCGCCUCUGAGUGUUCGAGGACUCUGCAGCAGCAGCUCCACGUGACUAUUGUCAUUAUCUGAGCAGGAUCAAACCUUCCUGUCAGACUGUCUACACAUGAUGAAUCUUGUUUUUGUCCCGGGCUGCCCUCCUCCAACACGUAAAUGACCUCUUUUACAUUGAUUCAUGACUUCUGUGUGGCUUCAGACAUGUGAAUAAAGAAGUCAUUUGAAAUCCACAUGCACAGCCGAGGAGAGGUCCCGACAUGCGCGCAGAAAUCAGUCAUAUAAAUGUAAGGUCAGGUACGAGGGGGAGAAAUAUCAAGACCCUCCCUGCUUUUUACUCCUGCGACCCUCUGCGGCGUUAUGAUUUACAGAGAUGGCGCUCUGUAGGUGGAGGCUUUGUGAAAAGGCCCGUGGCGGCCUGUUUAUCUGUUUGUUCUGAAAUUCAAUCUCCGAGUGUCAGGACAUAGAAAAAUAACCAUCUUGUUUCCAGACGACAGUGCGGAGGAGAAACGCCGAUGGCGAGUCAGGGUCAGAUGUUUUUUUUUUCUGUGAGGCAGGAAGAAUACAAACACAAAGACUGUUCCUGAGACGGCCUUGGGUUUGUAAAACAUUAGCACGCCACAACAACAACCAUGAGAGCGUAGAGCCGUGCAACAGGCAGACAAGGCUGUACUGAGCAGCUGUGUUUGCAUGUAAAUCAUAAAAAGAGUGAUAAUGAAUAUUUACAAUGUUUGUUGUUUUUAGAGAAGGUAAAGGAGAGUGUGUAUAAAUUCACGAUCAGUGUGCACAGUUUGUACUCGCAUGAGAAAAGGGUCACUACUCCACUGACCCAACUGAAACCACUGGAGCUGUGUGGGCUAGAUGAAGCCCACACAGGGACCUGGACUGUAACAGAGCACACGGACAUGUUUGAAAGACAAGUGUUAAGCCGAAAACAUACAGGAUCCGUAUUGAGCGCAUUCUGUAUUUGCUCUGUAGAGCACCGUUGGGUGUCACAUACAGGAUCAGCGUAUUUGGAGUGGAAAUGACAUGCUCUCAACAUGUUUUUUCUUUUUGUGGUCGAUUUCCUGAUAAUUUGGAUAUAAUUCAGUGACUGUUGAGCCUCUACUAUAUGUAAAAAAGCUUGGAGUGAUUUUCCAGUUUGUGUUUUUGCUGGUUUACUGGUGUUUAAUAAAGUAAACUAUGUUCCUUUAUGCUGUGCCUUUAGAUUACCUUUAGACAGAGUUAGCAGUUCAAAGUCCUGUUGUGGUCCACAUGGAUCAGAUAUUGACCAUUAGAUUGUUCUGUGUUUCUGAUAAAUCCAGAAACAGGAAAGAUUUUUCAUCUACACCAACUGAUACACAGUCGGGAGUUCACAUAUGGCGUUCAGGGCUUGACACUAAUUUUUUUCACAUGUGCUCCUAAGUUAAAAAAGUAAGGAGCACACAAAAAACUUUAGGGGUCACAAUGAAAAUUCAUCAAAAUGUUUGUCGUAUUGUCCGACCUUAGUAAUAUUAUUUGAAAUCAAUUUUAGGUCAGCUGGUCACAUGGAAGCUAUUGAAGGAAAACAGUCUUUUUUGAGAACAUCAACUGGUAAUUUAUUGAUGGUCCCUUAUUCAACACCCGACGUAAACAGCGAGGGUGCCGAGUAGAUUUAAUCGCGCUGCUGUUGUUAUUCUCAGUUAUGGAAAGUGAGAAGACACCGGUAGAUCAUCAGUGAAUGUCUGACAAAUAUCCAACCUAAACUAACUUCACCGCGGUAUUUAAAGGGAAAAAACAUUUGUUGCCUCAGCCAAUUUUUUUUUUUUUAUGCCCACAUGUGACCCUAAAUACAUUUGACAAUUCAAGUCGCAAGUGCGAGUGAAACAGUCUCACUGUCGGGCCCUGUUUUUUUUUUUUUUUUUUAAUACCAGAUGACAUGCUCGGUUUUCCUGCUUGACUUCCUGUCUAGAACAAUCUUCUCUGUGUGGAUUGACGCGUGUUGGAAGCGUAGAGCAGCAAAAAUAGACUUGUUGCGUAUCUUUAGCAUUGCUGCUCUUGAUACGAUGCUGCCAUGCUCCAAAUACGCAUCCUUUAUGUUUUAGCCUUUACAUAUACAGUAACUUACAAACUUCGGCUUCAACAUCUGAAAAAUAGAGGUGCACCAGUCCUGAUCCUGGUAUCUUGUGUCAACUACUUACUGAUCCUGGCCUUACUAAACUGUGUCUACACAUGGAUGAAAUAUGAAGUGGAAGAUCAAAAAGCACCUUUUCUGGGUGUCUUCAAUAUAUUGUUGUAUUUUUUUAAAGUCCUUGUUGACGAUCUGAGAAGCAAUUGAAAAAAACUGAGCCGUUGAGGCAGAUUUGAAAAGAAGCGUCCCAUCCCCCCACACACAAACCUCUCCCCUCUGUGCUCCACGAUAACUCUAUAACGAUAAUAAAUCCUACGCUAGCUUCAAAUAGGAUUCACUAUGUCGGAUUGUUAGUGACUAGCGGCAGUAAACGCCAGCUCUUAUAGCGAGCGCCGUCUGCAGCUGUCUAGACAGCUACUGUGUUGACAUUGCAGAGACUAAAAAGAGUUAUUUAUGUAACGUGCCAUGAUAAAAUGACCUGUUCAACAUAAACUCUGCUUUCUCAGCGUCUGUUUUCAGGACCAAAUCCUGGCAUAGCUUUCUUCACCGCUCCAAGGAUGACCCGAUGUUUAUUUCAGUUUGAUUCCUCACUUGGUCACAUUUCCUCUCCGACUCCACCCUUUCUUCUGUUGGCUUGUAUUUUCUUGCCACUUUUGGCAGUGGGGAGAGCAGAAGUGGUUUUUUUUUUCAUCCCUCUCCAUCACAGCUCCUGUAGCUAAGCUGCUACGCUACUUUUAGCCACUCAGAGCUCCGAUGAGGGCUGGGAGGAGAAUUUUUUUUUUUUUUGUAGGACGGUAGGGGAAAGUCCUGCCUUCUUCGCCUCUGAUUUGCUAGAAAAGCUGGAAACAUCAUCACACGCUCAAGCCAGACGCGGGCUGUUGGCUCUGUACAUCGAACAGAACAUUACAGAACAUUAUCGCAAUUCUGAAUCUCCUAACCAGACAGACGAUGACGUUUCACAGCCAUUAGGAAUAACCAAUCGGAGCCCAGCACUUCUAGCCAAUCAGAGACGAAGGAGGGACCUUCCCCUACCAUCCUACAAAAAAAAAAAAUAUUGCUGCCGGGAGAGUGGGAGGGGACGAGUCGGAACUACAGGAGAGGGGUGUGUCAAAUACAGCAAGGUGAUUGGUUGGAGAGGCAGAGCAGGAGAUUGACCAAUAGGAGCUGUCUGGGAUGAAUGGCUCCCAUUGGUCAAUGUUUUUGCAGCCCUGCACCUGAUAGGGUGAACGGAUUUUUUCCAUUCUUUUUUCUCUUCACUUUGUGGAGAUCGCACCAUAGGACCAUGAUCAACAUAAAAACAAGGUUCAUAAUAACUGCCAAUCUUUACAAUCAUCAACUAUGCCUUUAAGUCCAGUUUCAGUCAGACUAAUACAACAUGUCACCACUCUGACUGUGUGUAAACAGCUGUUGCUCAGUGCAGUUUGCAGUGCAUUAAACUCUUUGCAUGUACUUCAUGAAUCAGAUUGCAUCUUCGGUUAAACAGCUCUGCAGAAUUACUGAUUUUACACGAUGAUUAUGAACUUCAUCUCAACUUGUGGUUCACAUGCGGACUGAACCGUGGGCGGCGAUCAGUUACAUCAGCAACAGAAAAAUGCUUGUAAAUAUGCAGAUUUUUGGGGCGCAGUCAAACUUGAAUCCACUCGAGUCUGAUCAUUUCUGGAUCUUUCUGCAGGCCCCGUAAACCUGAUAAAGAAAAGACCAGAUUUUACAUGAUCCAGUUUAAGUCCAGUGAUCAGCCCCUGACUGACCUCAGGGGUCACCCUGACAUCUUGAUUCCUGUACUUUAACUGAUGAUUAAGAUUAUAGCGGCGUAUAAUUAAUCGGGCUGAAAUACUCGGAGGGAGUCGGUUACAGAAUAUUUCCCAUGGAUGCUCCGUCUGCAGAGACUUAAAGGAGCUGAAUAUAAAACACGGAUCACAUAUUUGAUCCCCGGGUUCCUGCUGAUGAAUCAUUAAUGCUGAGGUGCAGGGUUCGAGCUCAGGGUCCCGCUGCCUCUGAACCCUCUGAAUACUUUAUGUUCACGGGUUCAUUAUUCAGGGAGGUCACCAUGUUAGCACUCUAUUUAUCUCCCUCUCUAACCUUAAACUGUUCCCUUCGUUUGUGUGACACACACACACACACACACACACACACACACACACACACACACACACACACACACACACACACACACACACACACACACACACACACACACACACUUUCUCCUCAGACAGUAUUCAGGUUGCAAAUUCAACUUUUCCACUUUGCAGGAAACUUUUAUUGAGCACUUUGCGCAUAUUAACACCUUAAAUCAUUAUUAUGCCCACUCAUCCUGCUUUCAUUAACUCUGUCUCAUAAAGAGCCAGGAGAAGAUGCAAUGACAAGGAGACAAUGAGCGGUGUCUACGUCGUGAGCGAGCAAGCGAGGGAGAAAGUAUAAAAUCAGAAUUUAAUAAUCUCUGUUUAAUAUUAAUGUAUAUUCUGCAGUUUAGGGACACCUACAAACACAUUUAUGGGGAGAUAGAACCAAAUCGGAUGUUUUCUGAAAUCUGCUGGCUCCUUCAUGAUAAAUUCCCCCAUGUGUUUGAGGCAAAGUGUUCUUGUGUUCUUAUCAAAGCGGGGACACGUCACCUUCCUGUUUAAACGUCUCUUAUCACGGCGGCUCACCGCAGCAGCUGCUGUGGUGUGUUAGUGUGAUGAAUGUGCAGUUAUUACAGCCUGAUGUAUUACAGACUCCCUCUGUUGUUUUUGCAGCGCAUGUGAGUUUUUAUUCAUAAUUUGUCACACGAGAGGAAAGUAGAGGUGACAUGCGAGCGACCAUUUCAGCUCAGUGGAUUCAGAUUUGGAGGUCUGAACAUGCGUCAAAACUCGUCAGAUUUUGAAGACGUGUCAGGCCUGGUGAAAUCACAGCGCCCCCUUCAGUUUAAGCCCUGAUCAUGUCCUGCCAGCAUUAGACAUGAAACAGGAAGUUAAUUCAACUCCAAUACAAACGUCAAUCACUUUGAUAGUUCAUAAUCAUGGUUAAGGUCCACCCCUAAACACCUCUACGUACGUGCCCAUUACUCUGUUACAGUCAUAGCGCCACCCUGUGAAAAUACACGGCACUGACUCACUGAUUCAUAUAAAUUUUUGACAUAGUAAUAGUGCCACUUGCAGGACAGAAGCAGUAUUAACUCACAUAUAUGCUGUCUUAAAGGUAAAACUAAUUAGCAGAACAGACUUGAUCACUACGACAACGGUAUAAUCACAUGGAUAUGAAAGUCAUGUUGUUUUUGGUAACCCUUACUCCCAAUUUUCACUGCAUCCGAAACGGCUCCAAUCUGGAAUGGCAGCGAUUUUUGCCGUCCAUCAAUUCCUACCGGAUCCGUUUGUGAGGCGAAUUUUUGUGGCAGAUUACGGACAGCGGUAAUCCCAAGAACUCACUAAGCCCACAGAUUCACAUUCAAUCGCGCGAUAACAAGUUGUCUCUAUAAAGACUGACACAUAGACAUAUAAGGAGUAGAUUGUGUUCUUCCAGAGGAGGAAAUCUACCUCUAGACUUCUAGAAUCAGCAUCUCCUCAUCCAUGGUGUCAUCGGGGUGAAAUGAUGUCUAAAAACCUUUCACUUGUUCAUUUCCGCCCAUUUGCAUGGUGUGAAAUACGAUCCUACGAGUGUUUUAUUUUGAAAAGAAGCCGGAUGUUUUAUUUUGGGUCUGUGCCCGACUUCCUUUCCAGCACAGGUUAAUCCAUGCUGAAUUUUUCCGGCAUGCUCCAGCAUCCAGAAAAAAUAGAAUUCCUGCGAUCAGCUGUGGAGUCCGGCAAUCUGCAGAGGAACGGAAAGAAGUCAGUGGAAAUUGACACGUUAACUUGAAUUUUUACGAUCAGCGACAAUCAGCAGAUACGACCUUUUCGUAUUCGUUCUGGAUGUGGUGGAAAUUGGGGUUUAUUUCAGCAUAGUCCCUUUUUACGUGGCUGCUAUAUUGCACCGUCACGUUUCUAUGGUAGCUCAGAAUGGACAAACAGUUAGCAUGCACCUUUUAGUAUUUAGUGUGAAGAAGAAGAGCGGUUGUUGUGCACCAAAUGAUUUGGAUUAAUUGACAUUUUAAUAUUAAAAACUUGACAAAUAAAGGAUCCUAGUUAUUGUUCAUCACGGGAGCUUUUGGUCCUCAAAGGCCACCAUCAUUUCACUGAGUGGAGGGGUAAGCAAAGGAGCUUGUCAGUGCAGAUGAUAGAUAUUAAAUAAUUAUCCCAUUUCUACACACUGUACCUUUAAAAGGUGGGGUAGUCAGGAUCUGAAGAAGUUCCAGUUUUUGAGAGAAAUCUUGAAUGUAAACUCUACCCCUGCCAACCAGUUUUCCCCUCAGCUCCUCCUCUCCCCUCCCUCUCUGCUCUAGCAAGCCCCGCCCACAAACAGACGCUCCUGCUCGCUCAUAUCGUUCCAAUUAAAUUCAGAUAUCGUGCAGAUAAAUACUUUAGAUAAUUACGAAUGGGGCCAAGUCAAGGUGAAAGUAAAAAGCAUUGGUGCUACUGUAGAUGCCAACAGACUACCAGCAAACACAAUGUUUUCAGGACUUCUACAACUAGGAUAAAGUGACAUAGUCCAGGACCCGAGGUCAACAGUUUAGCGGCGCUACAACACGCUACAGCAGGUCCCAUUUGACAAGAAACACUUCUGUUACAGACACUUGGCUUACUUUGUUAAAGCGGUUUACCUGUCCAGCAGAAAGGUUACAGGGUCACCAAGAUCCCGAAGCGUCCCCCAUCAUUUAUGUUGACCCGGCUUCUUAGCUCUUGUCCGGUCUACCUCCUUUUUAAGCGUCGUUAUUCCUCCAGAGUCUCCAGUAUUUACUUCGUUUUCUUGCUUGUGUUUGCAGUCGUGGCUAAAGGAGGACACAGACAAUUUUUCCGAACUUUCUGGUCAUUCUACUGUCCGAUAUUGUAGCACGCUAACUUUGUUUGGGCUCCUGAACGACACGGGGAAGCAGCAUCUGCCUCACAACCAAUCAGGUCAGGGAGGUAGAGAACGGCUUUAUCUACAGUCAGAUAGAGCAGACCACUCAAAAAUGUAAAAUGUCGACUACACAGACAUGAGAGAACACAGCAAUAUUGUUAUAUUACCAAAUGUCAUCAAUAACUAAUAACUAUUGACUGAUAUUAAAAGAUUUUUUGUUUAUACAACACAAAAAAGAUGCUUCUUUUACAGAUUCCUGCCUACCCCACCUUUAACUGACUGGAGGGGUGAGCACCGGAGCUCGUCGAUGUAGAUUCUAGAUAUUAAAUAGUUAUCCCAUUUCUACACACUGUACCUUCAAAAUAUGUCAUCAUUAAUCAUGUAUUCAUCGACACUGGUCGGAGCUGUAGCAGCUAAGCUAACUCACUUUUACGCUGUAUUCAAUAACAUCAUCAGACGUUUGUCGUCGUUCUGACAGUGCGUUUAAACCAGUAGGAGGUUUUUUCAUUCACUGUCUUUGGGUUCUGGUUUUUACAGUCAUGUGCACAGAUGGCUGCCAAGUAUCAUCUGGAACGAACUCUUUUAAACCACAGGAGUGAAAAAAUGAGAGCCAGGCCUGAUGGAUAAACACUGAAGAAAGUUGGCAGAGAGAAAAGAAGGACGAUUGUCGGAUCUGUCUGUGUGUCUCAUUUUCUCCUGUAUUGAACAGACGAUGAUGAUCUAAGAGGGUUAAUUAUCCGUGAAAUUACACAACAUAAGCAUCAGAUGAGUGAAAAUAUGGGCUGCUGUUUUAAUUAUGAGGAUCUUGUCUUGAUGCAUUUUUCUCCUUAUCUUUGCAAACAGGAUUUUUGAGAGUGAUUUGGUUCAGCAGGGAUCUGCAGCACAGUUUUUCUGCCAUUUCCUGACUCUUACAUACAAUAAUCACACAAACAGGACAUUAUAUUCAUAAUUUAUGCAUGAUUAUUAUCUCAAAUGGAACAAACCCCGUCCUGUACACCAUCAGCUGUUGGUUCUGGGCUCCACAUAUGACCACUAAAGGGCUUCCCGGGCUCUGAGCCGUCACCCAGACCUCGCUGAGCUGCAGCUGCUCAGUUUGAAGCAGGCCAACGGUUCAGCAGUGAAAAUGAUUUUAUCUGCUGACUGUUUAGAGUCCAACCUGGCCCAGGUAUCGCUCACUCAGCUCCUGCUUUAUGAGCCCAUCUGUCUCUAUCCUGAAUGAGGAUAAAGGUAAGUGAAGAGGAUGAAAAAUGAGCCACAGGUUCUUCUUCCUGUGUUUGGAGAACGAGAGUCUGCAAAAAAAAAACACACCGAGCAUUCAAGAUGUUAGAGAAGAGCAUGAUGGGAUCUAUCUUUCUGCUGCUGCUGAUGAUGAUCUUGUUGGCCUUUGUAGCUCAUAAAGAGAUGUCAAUAUUAUUUCAGUUUCAUUAGAGGAACUUGACUGUACCAAACAUGGAUGUCUGUUUGAAUUCACAAAGAAAUACUCAUACAUUUGUUACUCCUAAAAACGCAAGCAUACAGCGCCCACCAGAUCCAAUCCACCACCUCAAGCGGAAGGGAACUGCUUGCGAUGCUACAGAUAUUUCUCGCGAGACUGGACAAGAUCUCACAGGUUUCACAGUGAGACAUUGAAUGAGACUAGCGGUAGUGUUGUUUCGUUCAUGAACGUUUCUUUCAAAAGAACAGAACUGCUGAGUGAACGACGUGAAUGGAAUCACUCCAAGUCCUGAUUCGUUCCUUUCUCAGUUUAGUUGAGCUCAGCCGUGAGCCUGGCAUGUCGGUCAGGAGUGGAACUGCCGGCUUUGACUCUUUGGCGAACGACACACAGCCAGCCAGCCAGUUAGCGAGCAGGCGGAGUCUUAUAAUUUGAUUUGAUGCAGGCAGAGGAGGGAGGGGUGUAGCAUCGUUCACUUCCUGCCGAGCAGCGGUUGGUUGACUGAGGCUAAGAUAAAACAGAUCAUUAUAGUGCCUUUACAUUAAUACAUGUGUAUUAACGUUCCUGUGAGAAGGAUUUAAUUUCAGUUGAUUUAAAGAAAUACAAUAUUUGAUAUCUUUAAAAGUAUCAGAAUUCCUGCUACAGCUGACAUGUUUAUUUAUUUAUUUAUUUUUAAUCUCUCCACUUUUCCGCGAUAUUAAAGAACAAUGACUUGCACUUGUUUAGCGGCGUGCUGCUCGCUGUUGUGUUGUUUCUGCCGACAGCGACACACAGAGAGGUGAGAUUUGCCUCUCACCUCUGCGCCGCACUGAAUCGAUGCUGCGGCAUCCGGCAAAAAUAGAAGCCUUGCGUAUCUGAUUGGACCAUAAGUUGCUUAUCAAACCAUUAACCUAAAAGUUAGGAUAAAACCUUUAAAAACAUUUGAAAGAGUUUUAUUGCUUAAAAACAUCUGAAGGAACGUCUACAUCUAAUGAGGUGAAUGUCCAAAAGGUGAGUCACAUGACCAGGUCUAAAAAAAACAUUCAGAGAGGCUGAGUCCAGAUCUUCAGGACAUUAAAAACAGACAGGACUCUGGAGUAGAGCUGCAGCUAUCGAAUAUUUUAGUAAUCAAGUAUUCUAUCGAAUUUUCUAUCGAUUACUCGAGUAAUUGGAUCCAAACGGCAGACUCACAUUAAGUUAGAUUUCCUAUAGCCCCGCAAUGAAGGCCAGACUCGGAAGAGUAGAGGACAAUCGCAGAACAAGCAUAUGCGUUAGCGGAUUGCAAUGCUCGUAAGAAAGCUAAAUAUGAUAUUAACUUUCAUCAUGCCCCCAAAGACACGUGUGUGUCCAAGAGCUGAAUAGCUCCAAUGUUACCUGAUUCUGCUAUGACACCAGCAAUGUUAGGCUGCAAGCUAGCGUGAAGAGAAGUGUGCUGAGCAGCGCUGUCCCCACCCACGACUCAGAGGCCAAGUGCUAAUGAGCUACUAGAGCUCUGCACAAGAAAACAGUGUUGCCAACUUCUCAGUGAGGAAAGUCGCUAGUGGCUGUUGUAAAAAUAGCUAGAAGUUGCAUGACGCCAUCGCCUAAUUUGCAUAAUUUCUCAGUCGAACUCACUACCCCCCUUCUCCCCACCUUCCCCCAGCCGGUUAGAAGCAGGAGGAGAAGUCUUUUUCGGGGUGUCUGUCUGUGUCUGUGUUUUAGAAGAGUAAUAAUGAUACCUGCUUUCAUGUUAGAGUCUCUAAAUUCCAGAAAAAGUUGCUAGAUUUGUAGCUAGGUGCUUUUUGAAAAUAAUUCACCAGGGGGGUCUAAAAAGUCGCUAAAGUCGCUAGGCUGGCAACACUGCAAGAAAAGCCCCUCUCAUCAUUUAUUUUUCCUGCUCCGCAAAACCAAAACAGCUCUUACUCCUCCUUCUACCAUAAUGAUGUAAGCGCAUUGUGUCACCUUCAAAAGAAUCAGUGCGAAACAGUGACGAUUUGAGCUUAUAAACGAGAACUCAAGGCAGAGAAAAUUCCUUGAUCAUUAUUUGUAAUUGAGGUACACGAGAUAUUGGAGACAUCGUUUCAGCCCUACUCUGGAGUAGGAAUCACUGCAUAGAAAGGACAACUGGACUUACUUGAGACCUUUCACCUAACGAAUGAAGAAUCAGAAAUCAUAGAUGCCGCAUCCUCAGUUUUGUUGCUGGCAUCAAAUUAAACAAUUAAAAUUUUCUGGUUCAACAUUAUAUUUAUACAAAAUCCACCUUUAGGAGAAACUUUGAUUCUAUUUCUCUCAAACUUUUGCAAGUAGGUGAGUCAACCUGCUGUUUAUUAAUAAUUACCUGCAAAAAACUUUCAAUACAUCAUUCUUAUUCCUCAGACUGGAGUUUCUAAAAGCAUCCAGAGUUUCUAAAAGAAUCUGUACUUUAGGUGACUCCAUCUGUGGGUGAAAACCAGGAUAAAUUCUCCUUGUUAGGAAACCUGGUGGAUCCUGAGUCCUACUUUUACUUGAUUAAAGAGAUGGAGGAAAGUUAUCCCCACAAAACAAGUGAGAUAUUUUAGUCUGUCAGUCUGUUCUUCUGAGAAUGUCAUCAUCUGAGUCUUAUCUGAAAACACCCAGAAAUAUUUUCUCCUCGUUCGUAUUUGCGAGUCGACAAAGAGAAGCAAGAGCUCAGGCAGGAUUAUUAUCCAAACAUCAGACAAAGUCUACCCAGCUGAUUAAAACUGUGAGGAGAGUAAAGGUGAUCGUACGUCUUCUUUUAUUCGGACAUGUCCUCCUUUUGGAGGACACCCCCAAGGACACAAUCUACUGCUUAUAUGUCUAUGUGGCUGUCUUUAUAGGGACAACUCAAUAUCGCGCAAUUGAAUGUGAAUCCGCAGGUUCUUGUGAGUUCUUGUGAUUCCUGCUGUCCGUAAUCCACCACGAAAUUCGACUCACAAACGGAUCCUGUAGGAAUUGGUGGACAGCGAAAACCAUUGCCGUUCCGAAUCAGAGCCGUUCUGGAUGCAGUAAAAAUUGGGGGUCACAUUGCCGGUGUAGUAGAAGUAGCAGGUAACAUAGGAGCUAUUCAGCUCUCAGACACUGAUGUGUUUGGGGACAUGAUGAAAUCUAAUAUCAUAAUUUGCUUUCUUACAAGAAUUGCAAUUCACUAACGCACACGCUCAUUCCGCGGUUGUCCUCUCUACUUCUCCGAGUCUCUGGGGGCAGAGCUUGGAUUUGCUACGUAGGAAAUCUCACUGUGUCUGAUACUACCGUUUGGGUCUGUUAGAGAUUCACAAAUAUUUGAAUGCAGAAAUACCCAGAAAUGCGAUUUCACAUUUAGUUUUCUCAUGAUAUGUCCUGAAGCAUCAGAAAAAUGAACAUGUAGACAAGAAGAACAACAUGAUUUCCACUGGAGUGGGUCUUUAAGUUCUAUUUGUAAACUGUUCAUAAGUUUUGCAUUUUUAACAGAGAAGAUUAUCAAAGGUUUGAGUUCAAGUCAAAGGGCGUGGUCGUAGUGAGCCCCUAAACUCAGGGUGUUUAACUCAGACAUUCAGACUCCGAUCUGAACCGAACUCACCUCGUAUAUUAGUGACCAGACAUGAACACGUUUAUGUAUUAGUCUGUUUACAUGUAUGGACUCUUGAAUAAUCCUGCUAUUGUUAACACAUUCAUCAAACUGAGAAGAGGCCGGACUAUAAAAACAUUCAACAUAAAGUUUGAGGUUGAAACUUUUUAAUUUUAUCCACAAUUUUCACAGUCUGGAAAACAGAAAACCUCUUGGACAUCUAAUAUUUCUAUUAGCACACUGUAAACAGAGUCCUUUACUGAACUCUUUAUUUAGUUUGUUUUCAUUAGCUGCUGUGCUCACUCUGUUUACUUUAUCUCUAUGGUAUACAGACACUUCUCUUUGUUUAGAGUUCGAUCAGGUUACUCUGAGGUUUUAAAUGUCUUGUUUUCACACGCUUUAGUUUCUUCACCUGUCUUCUGGGUUCUUCUGUCGUUUGUUUCCUCUCAGGGUUUUGUUUUCUUAUGUCAACUGUCAAAGCACUUGUUUUAUAUCUACUUCACUUGGUCGACAGAAUUAUUACGGACCUUUUUUUCCAAUAUUUUUGGACUUUUUGAUGAAGUUUUGAAGUUUGAAAGCAUAAGCUAUUGAGACUCUUCACCGGCAUCUAAUUUUCCUUGAAACAAAAUCAAGGAUGAGUCAAAUUUCAGCGGAAGAUUAUGAUAAUUAAACAUCUUUGGUGAUUUUAAGUUAAGAUUGACAAACUGAUUUAUCGUUUAAGAGCCUCCACAAGCAGAUUUAUGUACCUUUACCCAGAGAUAGGAGGUGUCACACUGAAUAAUAAAUAAAUAUUUAUAACCUUUCUGUUUGUUGGGGUUCAGCUGAGUCAUGGCUUCAAGAAUAGGUACAGUUUUCAUCAGAAUAUCAAUGUGUCUGCUUUGUGAAAGGAGCAUUUUAGAGGGAAAUCUGAAAAUUUGGACAAAUAUAUAGAAUAUAUUCAAGUAUUCAGGUCGGCCUUUCCCUUGGAGAAUAAAAAAAAACUAUUCUCAUGGAAAUUUUUCAUACCUUUGUGAUGUCUCAGAAAACAGCUGCAAUUUUUGACCUGAGUGGCAACACACACUUUAAAACUUAAGUGAUCCAGAGAUUCAUUUAUCUGGAGUCUCGAAUACUAGAAUGAAUGAAUUUCCUAUCAGGGAUCAAUCAAGUUCUUCUUUCUUUCUUUCUUUUUUACUAUUUACAGAAGAAUUAAACAGUCUAAUGGCUUUGGGUAAGUGAGAGGAACCGUCCACCACCAUUGGUCUAUCAUGGUGUCAUGAAGUAGAUGAUCCAUGUUCUUCAGAAUAACCUCAGUGAGCAUCUCUCCACCACAUCCUCCAACCCCAGAGCCAGCUUUUCUCACCAGUUUGUCCAGACGACGGUGGUUUGAUGGUCGUUUACUUACAAUCUAAACUCGAAUAUUUAUCUGAAUCUGGAGAGGUCUAAGUUAGCAGGACACAAAUAAUAAAGUAUGUCAUUUACAGUCACAACAGCCUCCAUAACAAAUCUUAUUCCCAGCACCCACUACUUCGUAAAAGAGCUGAUCUAUUGGAUUCUAUUCAGCAUGGUCAGCUAACAACAAAACUAUGACUAUUUUACCAAAAUUAAUUCAUAAAUCAUCACAGGUUUCCUUUAGUUCAGGGGUCAGAGUCUCAGAAAGUCUCAGAGUUAACCCCAGACAAGUUGUCGGCCCUUACAAAGCGAUUGGGUUUUACAGAAAGCUGCUAAAUGAUGCAGUUUCAUGUUUUUCCUGAUAUUUGAUAUAUUAAGGUUAAAAUCUUUCACAGAUUAGCAUCAUUAAGGUUGUUACACUCCGUGAGGUUUUUCUUAAAACCUCAUGAAGUCAACGCAACCUUCCACACUGGCUACAAACUUCCGCAGAGUGAAAAAGCAACUGUACUUUUUUGGCCCUGUAGUGAAUUUUGCCAACAUUCGCAGGCGAACUUCUAGACCUCUGGCCAAUCAAAAUGCAAGCCGUUGCUCUGGAUCAAUCGGCUCUCUGUAAUUUGUUCAAUCCUUCUGCAAACUUGGAGUCAGCUGAUGGAGCAGGUCUUGACAUUGUCCGAAGUACUGUCGUAAUUUCUCGGGAAACAAUUUGAGCUCCUGGUUUGUGCAGAACUCCCCCAUUUUCUGUCGCAGAGUCAGUGGUCAUUACACACCGGCGAAUUACCGAAGGGACUUGAAAAAGCGAAAUAUUAGGCUUGCGCCUUUUCCUUUACACACCUGGUGCAACGCAAAUAGAAUUAGCAUAUUCGCUAGAAAAUAUGGUCUGUGGCGCAUAUUCACUAUGGGAGAAGAGUGGGGGGAAAGAGAAGCAGGGGAAACAGGGGCAACUACAGCCUCAAGUGAGGAUGACCCGGUGAUAAAAAGAAAAAGAAGAAUCGACGUGUCUAAGUACAUCAGGGAUGUGCACAUACUGUGAUUGAAGGUGGGGCAGGCAGGAAUCCCUUAAAGAAGCAUCUUUUUUUGUGGUGUAUUUACAAAAAAACUUUAAAUAUCAGUCAAUAGUUAUUAGUUAUUGAUGACAUCAUAUAAUGAUAUCUCUGUGUUUUCUUAUGACUGUGUAGUCAACAUUUAACAGCGGCCCGCUCUUUCUGACUGUAAACAAAGGUGUUCUCUGCCUCCCCCAACCUGAUUGGUUGUGAGGUGGACAUUGCUCCCUCGUGAUGUGAGGCACACUCCACAUCCUUGAAUAACAUUCACGAGCCCAUACAAAGUUAGCGUGCUACAAUAUCGGACAGUAGAAACCAACCAGAAAGUUCGGAAAAUUGUCUGAAUCCUCCUUUGGCCACGACUGCCAACACAAACAAAAAAACGAAGUAAAUACUGGAGACUCUGGCGGAAUAACGGGCGCUUAAAAAGAGCUAAAAGCUGGGUCAACAUAAACGAUAGGGGGACGCUUGGGGAUCUUGGUGACCCUGUAACCUUUCUGCUGGACAGGUAAACCGCUUUAACAAAGUAAGCCAAGUGUCUGUAACAGAAGUGUUUCUUAUCAAACGGGACCUGCUGCGUGUUGUAGCGCCGCUAAACUGUUGACCUCAGGUCCUGGACUAUGUCACUUUAUCCUAGUUGUAGAAGUCCUGCAAACAUUGUGUUUGCUGGUAGUCUGUUGGCAUCUACAGUAGCACCAAUGCGUUUUACUUUCACGUUGACUGGGCCCCAUUUGUAAUUAUCUGAAGUUUUUAUCUGCAUUAUAUCUGAAUUUAAUUGGAACGAUACGUGCGAGGAUGAGCAUCUGUUUGUGGGCGGGGCUUGCUGGAGCAGAGCGGGAGGGAAGGGGAGGAGCUGAGGGGAAAACUGGUUGGGAGGGGUAGAGUUUGCAUUCAAGAUUUCUCCAAAAAACUGGAACUUCCUCAGAUCCUGACUACCCCACCUCUGAGCGGUCUGAUUUAUUAAUAUGUUGAACAAUAGUAUAAUUAUUUAUAUAAUGCAGGAAGCAGGAAGACACUGCAGCAGCUCAACUAUGGCGUCCAGGAAGCACACCACUAAAAACAUUAAUUUUUCGCUCCAAUCCUAAGAAAUCUUUAGACUUUUUGGGGUUUAAUCGGAAAAGCAUAAUUUCAAAUUUAGUCUGUUUUCCUCGGUCUCCAGAGGAUGGUCCUAAAUUAGCAACAACCUGACUCUAGUUAACAUGUUUUGAAGAAGAUCUAAUUUUACAUAUUUGCUCUAUGUUUAAAAACUGUUUAAUAAUGUAGUAAUACUUGGAUAGAUCCGCAUGACAUGACUGAAGAUUUCUACAGAUCUUCAUGGUCCCAAGAGGAUGAACCAUGGUCAGUCUGCAGAUCUCUUGACUUUUUCCUCCUGAUAACUGACUUUCAGUUUUAGUGAAAAUAUCUCAGCAACAAUAAAAAUCCCUGAAAUUAAGUGUAUGCAUUCUUGGUCUGGGGAGGAUACACCCAACUGACUUUGGCUUGUCAUCGAGCAGCGAACGCAGUUUAACCACUCCCCUUUAUUUAAGAAAUGUAUCUUCUUAUGAACAGUUUAUCUGUUAGUAGGUAUAAUAUCAGAAGAGUUGAACUGUUCAAAACCAUUUUACUCCCUAUAAUACAGUUUAUCAGGGUUUUACUGCAGCAUUCAGUGUGUUCAUGCUCCAUAUUUUUCUAUACUUUUAUAUUCAUUAUAUUUGUCUCUACCUCAUGUUCUUGUACUCUCAUCUUCAUAAAAUCGUUAUGCGGUGAGGCGCUGACUUAUUUUAUUGCUCUUUUUAUGAAUUUUGUAUGAACAUUGUUUGGAGGAGCAUAAACUGACUUUUACUGCCGUUUGAGUCGCACAGUUUGUGGAAAUGUGGCUCCAUUAAAAUCUGUCGAAUCGAGUCUCAGCUGUUUCUGUUUGCAACGUUAAAGCAGUGUUGCUCUCGCUCUGUCGAAUCUUUGAAGAGAUUUGUAAAAGGUGUGUGUUAUGAGUGUGUUGAAGUGUCUGUCACAGUCUGAAAACUCUUGAAACUAACCCUAAAAGUCUGGAUUUAAAGUGCAGAUUUUGGUGCAUUUCUUUAUUUUUUUGCCCACUAAUUCAGCAGAGAAAAGACGGUAACUACCCUCUGUGAAAGAAAACGACUUUGAUCAACAACCGGGGUGAUUACUGAUCAAUAAAAUGAGAUCAAAGUUUGCUCUGAGACGCUGCCUGCAAAAUAAGCAUUUACAGUUAUUAUUAUUCUGCAGUUUAAGGCCGAUUUAGCCGAGUGAAAAGACUAAUAUGAUGAUCGUGAAACAGAGCUGUGUGAAACAUUCAUCUUUUAUUAACGACAAGGAGGAACAGCGGCGGCUUUGUUGGCCACUUGAGACUUGGAACUGGAAAUCUCAAUCUUAUCAAACGCUGAUAUGACGGAAACACACAUGCACACAUCGGGACAUUUGGGCCCAGGCGCACAUAUUAUGUCACUUUAUGUCCCAUUAACAGCUAAUUAAGACGUGAAUGAUCUCCUUGAGGGGAAGUGUUCUACUUAACCGCCUUUCGAGCGGCUCCUCGUGCCACAUUAAUCUCCUUCCCCAGGGAAACUCGGAUAUUGAUCUGCUUUUUCCCAUGACAUCAAUCUCACUUUGAGGAGAUGAACAAGAUUAAAGUGAGAUGAGCAUCACAUCCUGGAAGAGAGGAGGAGGAGGUGAUGACGAACUGCGUAAUACUGUCAGAAAGAAAACAUAAAAACAACGGAAGGGCGAAACUCAUUCAUUUCUCAAACCGUAAAUACUAAAGAGUCAUCCUUUAACUUCGCCAGCUCUUCUCAGAUACCGCCACCGCUGUGCGUUUCUCAGGAUUUUAAAGCUGCUGUCAUUUUACGAGAUGGAACCAAAUACAGCCAGCGACAUAAAGCUGAUGCUCUGUCAUCUGUCUGUGUUAAAUUUGAUUAUCUGAGCCAAGAAAGUUUCAAAGGAAAUCAUUUCCCCAUUUUUAAAACAGUCAAAACUGAACACAGUUACAUCCAGGUAGUCAAGUUUUUACAGUAUUACUGCAGUAAACAUGUCCUGGAGCUACAGCUCUGGCUACUAGGGAAAACAGUGUCACUGGUAAUUCUGAAAAGUAAGGGCGAUGCUGUUGAACCAUAUAAAGGUGGUGUAGUCAGGAUCUGAGGAAGUUCCAGUUUCUAGGAGAAAUCUUGAAUGUAAACUCUACCCCUACCAACCAGUUUUCCCCUCCCUCUCUGUUCCAGCAAGCCCCGCCCACAAACAGACGCUCCUGCUCACUUGUAUCGUUCCAAUUAAAUUCAGAUAUAAUGCAGAUAAAUACUUCAGAUAAUUACAAAUGGUGCCCAGUCAACAUGAAAGUCAAAAGCAUUAGUGCUACUGUAGAUGACAACAGACUACCAGCAAACACAAUGUUUGCAGGACUUCUACAACUAGGAUAAAGUGACAUAGUCCAGGACCGGAGGUCAACAGUUUAGCGGUGCUACAACACGCUACAGCAGGUCCUGUUUGACAAGAAACACUUCUGUUACAGACACUUGGCUUACUUUGUUAAAGCGGUCCAGCAGAAAGGUCACAGGGUCACCAUGAUCCUGAGCAUCCCUCAAAUGCGGCUGUUUAGCUCUUGUCUGGUCUACCUCCAUUUUAAGCGCCUGUUAUUCCGCCAGAGUCUCCGGUAUUUACUUUGUUUUCUUGCUUGUGUUGGCAGUUGUGGCCAAAGGAGGAUUCAGACAAUUUUCUGAACUUUCUGGUUGGUUUCUGCUGUCCGAUAUUGUAGCACGCUAACUUUGUAUGGGCUCGUGAACGACACGGGGGAGCAGCGUCUGCCUCACAACCAAUCAGGAUGGGGAAGAUGGAGAAUGGCUUUGUUUACAGUUAGAAAGAGCGGGCCACUCAAAAAAUGUUUAAAUGUUAACUACAUAGACAUAAGAGAACACAGAGAUAUUGUUAUAUUACCAAAUGUCAUCAAUAACUAAUAACUAUUGACUGAUAUUAAAAGCUUUUUUGUAUAUUCACCACAAAAAAGAUGCUUCUUUAACGGAUUCCUGCCUACCCCACCUUUAAUCAGACAACACAUCGUGAAAGUUUGAUUGUUUUUGCAUUAACAAUCACUGGACAUCAGCGAUUUUACACCAGCAGGAACAACCGUCUACUUUGCCUUUUUAAUAUAGAUUUGAAAAACUGUUAUAAAAUUCAAAAUGCUGUAAUAUGAAACAGAAAGAGUCACAAGUAUUGAAAAAAUGAAGAGAAAAACAACAAUAAGAGUGUGUAGUUGUUUCCACGUGUGUGAACCUCCUCCACACCCUCAGCUGAUAUUAUACAACAGAUUCGAACAUAUGUCCAAACACAUCUAUUCACCAUAGCUCUAUUUUUACAUUCACCUGCAUGUCACUGAAAGCUUCCCGGCUUCCUGUAGACAUGAAAAGAGCUUCCACGGACGCCCUGAAGAGGCCCACUCAGAAAUGUACAGUACUCCACCAUAUUGUCAGGAGCGUGAGUCAUGUGCUUACACAACACUUAGUCCAAUAGAAGCAUUGUCAAGUACAUCUGGAUCAAAAGAGGCUGUUUUCCUGCUUUUGUAAAGGGUGUUAUUGUCAUUCUCUGCAGGCUUGAGCUGGAAGCAGCCGGGGCAGCGCUGCAGAACCAAAACCAGCUCCAUCAGAAAGAGUGGGAGGACACUCUUGUUUUCCAAAACCGAGUUUGUCAGUCUGCGUGAGUCAGUCUCUGCUGUCAUGUAACAGUUAAAAAAGCCUCUUUGUUUUAUUCCCUGGAGUGAGGCUGUGUUUACAAAGGUGAUUAACACCAAUUAAUGCUCCUGGGAGAGGACGAUGUGUAACCAGCUGUUCUAUUUUUACAGGAUUUAAAAAUACUCUCAGUUAUUGGAGACGAAAUCCAAUUGUUUCUGCAGAUAUGAUCAAACUCGGCGACACUGAUUGCUGCUGAUCGGAACUUGGCGCCAGGUCCCCACUGCUGCAUAUCAAUUUAUAUGAGUGCAUGUGUCCAUUUGCAUGAGCUAUUUACAUUAAUUUGAAUCCAUCCAGUUUGCAGCAUGCAUGAUGCGCUCCAGAUAUCCUGUGAGCACCAGAAUCUGAUUAAAGCAGACCAAAAGGUUAAUCGUGAAUGACAUCAUUGCUUGUAAGAGCGGGGGAGACGUGUAAUAAGAUUGUCUGCUGAUAUUUUACACCACAACUUAAUCCUUGAUUGUCCCUCCUUAUCCUGGUGCCCCCUCACCCCGGGCAGCUGUGGCUCUGAAAGUGAACACUGAUUAUUACAAUCAAAACAACAUGGAGUCAAGAGAGCGAGGAAAAACUAUAAAUGACAUCUUUAUACUAUUAAGUAUUGAGAAUAAACGUUUAUACAUGUGUGCUUUGUUUCUUAGACUGAUGUUGUAUUUUCAGGAAAAUCUUUGUAAUAACUAGACGGGUCGGCAUUAAUUCUUGGUCCUCAGAAGACGCUCCUUUAUUACCGUAUUUUUAUAAGGCGCACUAUGAGGCGCACUUAAAAUCCGUUUGGCUUGUUGGAGCACUGCAGCUACCGUAGCUUCCCGGAGUUAUUGAAUGAGUCAACUAAUGUUUGACUUAUCUGACUGUUUUGUUUGGUUUAAUGCACUUUAUAAUCUGGUGCGCUUUAUGUAUGAAAAUGGACGCAAAUAGACGUGUUCAUCGAUGGUGCGCCUUAUAAUCAGAUGCGCCUUAUAGUGCGAAAAAUACGGUACUUUGGAGAUCUUCCAGCUUUUCAUUGAGCACCAGAUUAAAGUCAACCUUGACCCAACCCUUAUUAAUCAACUUUACGAGGUGGACUACUGUUAAAGUCAUGGUUGACGAUUGUAGAGAUUGGUAAUUAUUAUGAACCUUGUUUCCAUGGCGAUCAUGGUCCUAUGGUGCGAUCUCCACAAAGUGAAGAGAAAACAGAAUGGAAAAAUCCGUUUACCCUAGCAGGUGCAGGGCUGCAAAAACAUUGACCAAUGGGAGCCAUCCGUCCCGGACAGCUCCUAUUGGUCAAUCUCCUGCUCCGCCUCUCCAUCCAAUUACCUCGCUGU
This 53976-nucleotide long non-coding RNA is filed under the name Xyrichtys novacula (pearly razorfish). Lineage: Eukaryota; Metazoa; Chordata; Actinopteri; Labriformes; Labridae. The record is from RNAcentral.